This 55484-nucleotide long non-coding RNA is filed under the name Populus tremula. RNAcentral's name for it is "long non-coding RNA (PTRE_LNC001563)". The record is from RNAcentral. Lineage: Eukaryota; Viridiplantae; Streptophyta; Magnoliopsida; Malpighiales; Salicaceae.
GGGUACACCCCGGGCCAAGCCCAUUCCUAUACAAGUAUGCGGCAACCGAGACUCAACUACACCAUGACCCAACUGUAGCCCUUUUUUUCUUGGAGAAGGACAUGCAUCCAGGAAAAAUGAUGAACUUGCAGUUCACUGAAAACACUAACACAGCAACUUUCUUACCUCGCCAGGUUGCUGAUUCAAUACCCUUUUCAUCUAACAAUUUGCCAGAAAUCUACAGUGAGUUUUCAGUGAAACCUGGAUCAACAGAAGCUGAGGUAAUGAAGGAAACAAUCAAGGAAUGUGAAAACCCUGGAAUUGAAGGAGAGGAGAAAGAGUGCGCAACUUCACUGGAGUCAAUGAUCGACUUCAGCACUUCCAAACUAGGAAAGAACGUUCAGGCAAUCUCCACAGAAGUGGAAAACCAAACCCAGAUGCAAAAGUAUACAAUUAAGACCGGAGUAAAGAAGAUGGCAGGAGACAAAUCUGUAGUGUGCCACAAGCAGAACUAUGCAUACGCCGUCUUUUACUGCCAUGCAACACAAACCACGAGGGCUUACACGGUUCCAUUGGAGGGUGCUGAUGGAACAAAUGCUAAAGCUGUAGCAGUGUGCCACACAGAUACAUCUGCAUGGAACCCAAAGCAUUUGGCUUUCCAGGUGCUCAAUGUUAAGCCAGGAACCGUACCAGUCUGCCAUUUCCUUCCUCAGGAUCAUGUUGUGUGGUUUCCCAACUAGGAGUCUGGAUCCCAGUCAUUUCGUCUCUCUUCAGUCCACGGUAGCUGAAAUUGGAAUGUUGUAUACUUAUAUAUCUAUUCGGUUUUCACAAUAAUACAUCUAAAACCUACUACAAAAGAUCGAUUAUGUAUAAUAUAAAGCUUGCUGUAGAUUCAGUGAGUCACGGUGUUUAUUAUUAGAUAACGCCUCCUUCUGUUGCUAUUUUCCUAUCCACAUGAGCAUGUAAUGUGAAAAGAGAGACCUCCAUGAGAAGAGUAAACCAGCACAAAGGGCCUAUUUGGGCAUUUUGUUAAUCAUGUCCCCGUUCCCCUCAGAAGAUUUCCUCGUUCAUAGCCGAACUAAAACUCCAACGACGAAUAUUGCUAGCCAUUUCCCCAGCAGGAAGUCCAUUUCAUUACACCGCAAAUCUCAAGAAGACUACAGACAGUCCCACUAACUAUAGUUAUUGACAAAGAUGUUCCAAAAACCUCUGGGAAUGACAGGUUAGAAGAUCCGAGACACCAGGUACCUAGAGAACAUAUGUGUCCAACGAAAACCUCAUGAUGCGUUCCUUGGCACUAAACAUGCCUGCAGAUGUUAUUUUUCCAGGACGAGUUUUACUCUUCUAAUGUCUCCUAACGUAACUAGCAUGUAGAAGAUGGGUAGGAACAACAAUGAAAGCAUAAAUUUAUAAGGGGGUGUUUUUUCAUUAUAUUGGCACGCAAAACCCUAAAAGAACCCGGAUUAGAAUAGGGGGAAAGCCCUGAAAACAAUAACUAAAUAGCAAGAAAUAAACUAUUAUCCUAAACAACAUGACAUAUUCCUAAAUACCCAUAUAAAUAACAUUAUAUUUAUUUAUUUAUUUUGAAAAGGACGUUAGUAUUCAAAUUGAAAUAACUUGAAAAUAGUUCUCCUAACCACUGCUUUAAUCUCAUCCACCACUAAACUCAUCGAUAAAACCAUCCUUCCCAUAGUACACCCCAAAAUUCUUAUGGUGUUUAUUAGCAUACUGAAUAAAAGGUUUAGCAUAGGAGUUGCCUGUUGUCUUUCCAAAGUUGUAAACUGGAUUGCUCUUCUGCAAGAAUCUUAUUCUCUUAGCUACGGCAUUAAUGGACUCCUAUUGCCAUUUGGCUUGUUCAAAUACUUGUACCGGCAUUGUAGUUUGAGGAUCUUCAACAUUGGUCUGAUAUCAUCCUUUACAAAGCUUGAAAUAUAGCAUGAUUCUUAGAGGGAAAGGUUCAGAGCAUUUAUUAAAGAUAUGAGUUCUUCAAAUCUUUCCACAUACUCAUCUACACUCUUGUCUUGUGCUAACUUAUUGAAUUCUUCCACCACAUCCUCUCUAUUGCAAAAUCUUAUACACAAAGCUUUUGUAAACUCCUCCUAGCUUGCUAAAUUUUCUCCUACAUAUAAGAACCCUUUGUACCAAAUUUCUGCCUUACUAUCCAAGUAUAGUGAUGCUAGCUUUAACCCAUUGUUGCACUGGUAUGUAGUUUAACUUGAAGAAUUUCUUGCACUUAUGUAUCCAGCUCGUAGGAUUCUCUCCAUGGAUAUUUGACAGAUCAAUCUUGGAAUUGCCAUAUGAUGUCCCACUCUUGCUGCUUCUUGGUUACCAAAACAAUCUCCUCUUUGAUUCAUAAGUCCUCGCAGAUUCACCCUUUGAAUAAUACCUCCAGUUAUGGUGUUAACUCUUUCAGAUUCCUGACCUCCUCAGUUAGCCUUCAACAUAGUCAUUAUGGCUUCCAAUUAUGAGUUGAUCUGAUCAAGCUUCUUGCCAUGCUCUUCUGUAAUUUCUUGUAGGUGUUGAAUAUGCUCAUCAACCUUCCUGCCAUGCUCCUCUAAAGCCUUGAUCUUGUUGUUUUCCACCAUUGUUGAUAUCUCAGGAACAAAAACAACCUUCCUUUACCCUUGGAAAGUGGCCUUGAUACCAAUUGUAAGAAGAUUCCUUACAAGUUACUAGAAAAGGGAGGAAAAUAAAGGAGAGAAAGAUCUCGCAAUUUCUACAAAUUUUUCAUCAAUGACCACCUGGACUAUUGGUCAUUCAGUCAUAACUAACUUGCCCGUUAUUGAAAGAAUUGUGAACUCUAUAGUGUAUUGUAUAUGUUAAGAAGGCUGUAAUACAUGUGAUUUAUACAAGUUGCAGAAUAGGAAAACAAAUAAUCUAUUCUAAGAAGGUCAAUCACAAAACUAUGAUUGCCUCAAUGUCAGAAAAUACAAUAGGAAAAUAGUAAACAGAAUAAAAAGAAAUACAUAUUACAAUUGUAUAAUAUCUUUCCCUUUAACACUCCCCCUCAAGUUGGAGUGUGAAUGUCGAUUACACCCAACUUGUGAAGAUGGGAUUGGAACAGGGGUGCGGGCAGUGGCUUGGUGAAAAUGUCAGCUACUUGGAAUUGUGCUUUCACAUGAGCAGUCUCACGAACGGUGUGGCAAUCCAAUUCGAUGUGCUUGGUCAGUUCAUGGUAGACUGGAUUGGCUGCAAUAUAGAGGGCAGCUUUGUUGUCACAAAUUAAGGUGGCAGGUGGCGGGGUACUUGUAGAUCCUGUAAGAGGUAUCGUAACCAAGUAAGUUCACAAGCGGUGGCUACCAUGGACCGGUAUUCAGCUUCUGCGGAUGACCUUGAGACAGUAACUUGCUUCUUGCUUUUCCAUGAUAUGAGGGACUUGCCAAGAAAAAUACAAUAUCCAGUAACUGAGCGCCUUGUGAAAGGGCAUCGUGCCCAGUCUGCAUCGCAAUAUGCCGUCAAGUGUAGUGGCCCAUUCGAGGAGAAUAACAACCCUUGGCCAGGAGCUCCUUUGAGGUAAUGAAGGAGCCGAUGAGCUGUGUCAAAAUGAUGCUUCUGAGGGUCAUGCAUAAAUUGGCUGAGUGUGUUCACUGCAUAUGUGAUUUCAAGCCUUGUAAUGGUAAGAUAGAUUAAUCGUCCAAUAAGUCUCCGAUAACAAGUAGGGUCUUUAAGGGGGUUACUCCCUGUAGGCAUAAGAGCAACAUUUGCAUCCAUAGGAAUCUUUUCAGGUUUGGCACCAAGCAAACCUGCAUCUUCCAAGAUAUCUAGUGUAUACUUUCGCUGGUAAAAAGAAAUGCCAGAUUUGGACCGUGCAAUCUCAACCCCAAAGAAGUAUUUUAAAGGGCCAAGAUCCUUAGUUUUGAAACGAGUGCUGAGGAAAUGUUUAAGGUCUCGGAUGGCAGCAUCAUUAUUCCCAGUAAUUAUCAUAUCAUCAACGUAUAACAAAAUGACAGUGAAAGAUUUGCCUUGUGUUUGUGUGAACAUUGAAUAAUCGGCUUUGGAUUGAAAAAAACCAAUGUGUUGUAUGGCAGUUGAAAACUUACAGAACCAGCUUCAAGACGCCUAUUUCAAACCGUAUAUGGAUUUGUGGAGGCGACAGACCAUGUGCUCCCCCUGGCGUCGAUACCCCGACGGUGGAAGCAUAGACUUCUUCAUGGAGAUCGCCAUGCAGGAAGGCGUUGUGCACAUCCAUCUGAUGCAAAGGCCAACUGUAAACAGCAGCAACAGUAAGGAGGCAAUGAACGGUGAUGAGCUUAGCAACAGGAGCAAAGGUUUCGGUGUAAUCGAUGUCUUCACCCUGGGUAUAACCCUUGGCAACCAAGUGAGCUUUGUAUCUUUCAAUGGAACCGCCCGACUGGUAUUUAAUCUUAAAAAACCAUUUGCAGUCGAUCGGACAAUGACCUACAGGCAAUGAAGUGAAAGACCAGGUGUUGUUCUCCUCUAAAGCUGUGAUUUCAGAAUUCAUAGCUGCAACCCAUUGAGGGUGAUGAUGUGCCUCCUCAUAGGAGCUGGGUUCAACCAAUUGAGAAAUAUGAUUGAUAAAUGUACGAUGAGGUGCAGAGAAAUUAGAGUAAGACACAUACCGAGUGAUGGGGUAGACGUGACAGAGGAGGGAUUAGUAGGAGAGCAGAGUGGCAUGGUGGGUUUGGUAAUCUUUGAAGCGGGUAGGGAGUUUUGUGGGUCGGUUGGAUUGGCGAAUGGGCGGUGGAUUGAUGGCUAUGGAAGGGGUAGGGGAUGCGGAGGGAAGAUAUGGGAUGAUGGGUAAAUGAGGAGAAGAUAAGUCGGUGAUGGGUAUGGGUGGAGUAGAUGUGAUGGGAAGCAGGGGAGGAUGAGGGGGAAUGGAAGGGGAAUCAGGGAAGACUGGUUGGGGUGGUGUGAUUUGGUUAGGGAUGGGUGCAGGGAGAAGUAAUGGGUCGGGGGAAGAAUUGGGUAUUACAGUAGAGCCAUCUUGGGUUUCGGGUGGAGAUGUAGAGAAAGGGAAUGUGUGUUCAUGAAAAAUCACAUCGCGAGAGGAAAAAAAAUUUUGUGUGGUAAGGUCAUAAAGGCGGUAACCUUUUUGACCGAGGGGGUAACCAAAAAACACACAUCGGCGAGCCCGUGCAUCAAAUUUGUGCUUAGGAAGAAGAUUGGUGACAUAACACAGACAGCCGAAUACUCGUAAAAUAGAGUAAUCGAGAGAUCUAUGAUGUAAUAGCUCAAAUGGUGAUUUGUGUUUGAGUAAGGGUGUUGGGCGACGGUUUAUAAGAUAACAUGCAGUUUGUAAACUCUCCCCCCAAAAACGCAAGGGAAUGUUGGCUUGGAAACGUAGCGCUCGGCCAACAUUUAAGAGAUGACGAUGUUUUCUCUCGACAACACCAUUUUGUUGGGGUGUAUAUAGACAUGAGUGUUGAAAAUAAGUGCCUUUGUUUUGAAAGAAAGAUUUGAGAGACAUAAAUUCACUCCCAUUAUCGGCAUGCAAGGAUUUGAUAGGAAGGUUAAAUUGGGUUUGGACCCAAGGAAAAAAUGAUUGAAUUACCCCUUGUGUUUCUGAUUUAAAAUUUAGAAAAUGGAUCCAUGUAAAUCGGGUAAAAUCAUCUACAAUGGUUAAGAAAUAUCGGGCACCAGUAUGAGUACGUAUUUUGUGUGGUCCCCAAAUAUCACAAUGAAUUAAAUCAAAAGGUGCAGUGGACGCUUGUGAAGUAGAUGGAGAGAAAAAUAAACGAGUUUGUUUUGCUAACGGGCAAAUAUCACAAACAUGUUUUGGAUCACAGACAAUUUCUGAAAUUUUAUUUGAAAGUAAUUGAAGGGGCGUUGGAUGGGUGGCCCAAACGUUGGUGCCAAAGAUGGGAGGUGUGGUGGACAUGGUGAGCUAGAUGUGGAUUUUGGGUAGCUGUGAGGUAGUAGAGCCCAUUAAAUUGCUUGCCCAGGCCAAUCGUCCUCCUCGUGGUCACGUCCUGCACAAUACAAAAUUUAUCAAAGAAAAUCACAAUACACUGCAAUCCUCGUGUCAAUUUGCUCACAUAUAAUAAGUUCACAUUAAAUUGAGGGACGUGAAGAACUCCUUCAAGAGUUAUUGUUUCAGAUACUUUAACGGACCCAACGUUGUGAAUUUAUGCUUUUCCUCCAUUGGGUAACCCAAUAAAAUCAUGAGGAGCAUGUAACAUGUUAUGUGUAGGUGCAAAACAUGAAAUGUGAUCUGACGCUCCACUGUCCAUUAUCCAGUAUAUGUUUGAAUGUGGGUUAUGCUGUGAUAGAUUACAGGUAGGUGUAACAGUACCUGUUGCAUUUGCACGUGAAAAAUUACCGGAUUGGUUGUGCAAGAGGGCGAGCAAUUGAUUAUAUUCUUCGGUGGUGAAAGUUGGACUUUCAUUUGGCUUACUGUCAUGCACUAAGGUGGGAUCCCUGUCAACAGUGUAGGCAUUGGGUCUUUUAUUCCUUGGCUUGGCAUUCUUUCCAUGUAACUUAUGGCCCACAGGAAAACCAUUGAUAUAAUAACAAUUUUCCACCGUGGGUGUCUCCAUCACAGUAAGAACAAUUGAGUUGCUUCUUCAGAUAAGGAUCGUGCUUCCCUUCUCCAUUACCAGCACCAGGCAAUUUUGUUCUCAUUUGAUUCCUAGGUCUUGUCCCUCCCCUGAUGUAGCGACUGGUCUGCAUAGCAUGGGGUCUGAUCUGCCGAUUUGCCACAUCCAUUUAUCGCUCGUGUUGGAUGAUUAAUCCAUGAACACGCCGUGUCUGGGAUCGGUGACAUCAUGAGGAUUGACCCACUCACUGUUGAGUAAGCUUCAUUAAGACCCAUUAGAAAUUGCAUGACUCUCUCCUUUUCUUCUCUUGAGACUUGUGUUUUGGAACCCUCACAGGUGUAUAUGAUGGGUUCAUAGGAGGAAUCUAAUUCAUCCCAUAGAGCCUUGAGUUAGUAUAGUAUUCUAAAAUUGUGAGGUUACCUUGUCGAUGCUCAGCAAUUUCUUGGCGGAUUUGGAAAAUCUUGGAGUCAUUGCUUUGUGAGAAUCAAUCCUCGAGGUCAUUCCAUACCAUAGAGGCACUAGUGCAGUAAAGCACAUUGCUUGCAAUAUCAGGAUUUAGUUAUUGUAAAAUCUAUGACAGCAUCAUGUCGUUGCAUCUUUGCCAAACAACAAAUUUGGUAUCGAUGCUUGCUUGAGGUGUGAUGGUUCCGUCAAUAAACCCCAGUUUGUUUUUGGCACUCAAGGCAAUACGCAUUGAGCGGCUCCAUUGACCAUAAUUGUAUUCUUCAAAGGCUUGGAAACAAGAACAAGCCCUGGUGAACUAUGCAGGGUGAGUGAGUUUGAUGUGUUGUCCUCCAUGUUUAUUUGCUCUGAUACCAUGAAAGAAUUGUGAACUCUGUAGUGUAUUGUAUAUGUUAAGAAGGUUGUAAUACUUGUGAUUUAUACAAGUUGCAGAAUCUAUUCUAGGAAAGCAAAUAAUCUAUUCUAAGAAGGUCAAUCACAAUAAUUGUGAUUGCCUCAAUCUCAGCAAAUACAAUAGGAAAACAGUAAACAGAAUAGAAAGAAAUACAUAUUACAAUAGCUGUAUAAUAUCUUUCCUUUUAACAGUUAUUAUCUUCUAAAGUAACAAACUGCAACUGAUUACUUCAACUAACAUAUGAAUCAAGUUUAUAAUUCCAUCACAUGCUUAGUGCGUGUUUGGGCAUGUUUGUCAUUGCGUUUCAAAAGCAUUUUUGAAAAUGUUGCUGCUCAAUUUUGUUGCCUCAACCUGCAGUUCACUCUUCUCCUCUAAUGUCCCAGCUUACCAUGCUAACUGUAACACAGAUUUUUCUCUCUAUCAGAAGGAAUAACUAAACAAAGAAACACUAUAAUAAUUAGACGACACAAUUAUGUCAACUGCAAGAUUGAAAGAGAACUUGGCCAUCACACGUGCAUAGCAUGCCUCUGUGUUUAUUUUCAGGAAAAUAGAAAAUGUGUUGGCUGACCAAACCACCUUCAUACCCAUGUGCACGUUUGUGUCCCCAGAAAAAUCUAAACGAUGCAAGUUUUUAGGACUUCACAAUAAUUAUGGUUGACACAGCCCCUUAGAAAUUACAGUCACAAUCUAAUUGUAUCAAAGAUAAAAUAAAUGAUUGAACACUAAGAAAAUGGAUUACAAACAAGAGAAAAACUAAAGCAGAAUCAUGGAGAGAGAGGCUUUAUCCCAUAUUAAUUUCUUUUUCAAUUGGUGAAGAGAAUUUAUGAGAAUAAAAGAAUGCAAUAAGGAGAAUAAGAAAAUCUCCAUGAAAUUAAAAAAAAAAAAAAAAGAAAUCAACAGGUCAUACAUGCUUACAUGCUUGAAGAAGUUUAGCAUAAUGUUGCUAGAUAAUAUUUACUCCAAGAAAGCAUCUGAAGACCCCAACUGGAUAUCUACUAAUAUUGGCAUUCACCAUGAUAAACUCCUGUGAAUAGACAGUAAUAUCCGAUUAUUCUUGUUUAUUUUAUUCAAAUCCCAAUAGCUGAUGAAAAAUGAUCACUUUAAUGUUAAUAAUUACCCAGUUACUCAUGGCAUUUAUUUAUUAUACCAACAAAAUAUGCUAAGCCAACAAAACAAGCUGCAAAAGAGAUUUAAGGCCUUCAUACCUGAUAGCUAGUCCAACAACUUGAGUGAUCACCAUAUCAAUCAAAGUUGGUUGACUUUGUAAAUCAUAUGAUGAAUCUAGUUUAGAGAUUUAAGGCCUUCAUUUAUUCCAAACAUAAUGUCUUUUGAAAGAAGACAUCAACCAAACUGCAACACAAAAAUUUAAGACAAAUUUCAGGUAAAACAAAUGAAGGGUUGAUUAGCCACACAUGCUCUAAAGCCUAUUGCCACAGGCCUCUCUUCAUCCAGCUGCAAAGCAAGUUAUUUGCUCCUAUUUUAAAUAUUUCUAGUGAAUGUUAUUGAAGAAGAAUUCUUCAGCUUAAAAUCUUAUUAUUUAAGCAAUAAGCAUAGCCUAUGGUUUCUGCUCAGUUGGCAUUUUCGUUAAUUCUAAAACUACAAUCAUACGCUGAAGGUAGAUGAAUAUUAUGUAUGGACAGAAUAUAGUAAAACUCAGCAAACAUUUUUCUAUCUGAAGAAAAGACAGCAGGAAGGAGAAGUGCUUAUAGAUAAAAACCAGUUCGUAUACCUGUACAAUACUACAGGGAACCCAAAUUUCUUUAAAUGUAAAAAAAAAUCUGAGUCUUAAAAAAUCAUUUGAUAUUAUCAUUAAACCAAAAAAUAGUUAUUUUGAAAAAAUAUAUAUAUAAUGAUAAAGUUUCCUACUGUUUAUCUUAGACAACAUAAUGUUUAUAACUAGAAGCAUUGUUUCUUUUUAAAAAAAAAAAAAAAAACAUUUUAUGAUUGUUAAAGCAAGUUAACAAAAAAUAUCAAAAUAGUAUGUCCAUAUUUUGUAUGAUUGAAAGCUAAAAAAAUCAUAGAUAUAAUAAAAUCAUGUUCAAAAUCUAUUUAAACAUUCUAAUAAUAAACAACCGAUUUCAAUCAAAUUUUCAUAAACAAUUCAUUAUUAUUAUUUUCAUAUCAAAAACAUAAUAAUUGAAGAACAGUUAUUAAAAUUCAAAUAAAAAAAUAUUUAAAAAACUUGUCAUAACUGAAUAGUAAGUGAAUCCAGUAAAUGUUUUUUGGAAAGUCAAAAAAACCAGAGAGAAAAAAAGCCAGCAAAGAGCCUAGCCCGCGCGCACGUGGUAGGCGAGGCUCGUGCACCCGGCCCUGCUCUAUUUUUUUUAUCAAGGGGGCAGAUGAUUUAAAAAAAAAAAAAAGUUAGAAAGUAGAAGCACUCCCAACACUCAAACCCGCAACUUGUGCCCUCCCCACAAGCGCCUCAACUGAUUGAGCCAUGACACAAAAUUGUUAUUAAACAAGUAUUUCAUUGUUUAUAUAAUCAGUAAAGCACUACAAGAAUCAAUACAAGAAAGAAGAGAAAGAGAAAUGUGUGUGCAAUUAAAGAGAUAGGAUAGAAGAGGAAAAAUUUGAGAAAACGGGUACAAAUAAUUUGGAAGAGAGAGGCUGAGGGGAGAGUUAAACAAUUGGUGUAAUAGAAAAUGUUAGUGCUACAGAAAUUCAAGGAAAAAAGAACAUCAUAGUAUGUUCAUGUUUGUUUCUUCAACUAGCUGUCCAUCAGUUUCCAUCCGUUCAGUUAUGAUUUCCAUUGUUGCAGAACAAAUAAUUCUUUUAUCUCCGCUUUUUCUUUUCUGAAUGCUUAUCAUAGGCAUCCAAAAUCAGCUGUGUGUGGUCACUGCACACUACAUACUUGCAAGAAAUAGGAGGAGAAAACUAUUGGGUUUGAUAUCCUGUCCACUGUUGGAAGUUAUCAACAGGAAGUGCAGACACAAUCGAAGUACAGAAUUGAUGUGGGUUCUUGUUUCCUCGUGCAAGUUGUCUUAGAGAUUCAUAACUAUUUUGCAAGUUGUGCACCAUGAGUUAAAUUCUUCAGCUACAAAACAAUAUUGAAGGUCCUUUAAGGCAGAAAUAUAAUUCCUGCAGCAUACAUUACUCUGUAGAAGGACCAGUAGACAUUUUUUCACAAGCCAUUAUGAUGGAAACUGGAAAAAUAUAAAACUUCCAGGUAAUGUUUGGACGACAUAUCCCAUCCAUGCCUCAGGGCACUGAGGCCUCCAUCAUUUAAGCCCUGAUAAACCUAGGACAACCACUAGUUUGCAUGUUAAGCUAACCGAUGGUAUAGUCAAAAACAUAGAUGGUGACCCACAACAGCUCCUAUAUAUUGGUUUGUUACGUGGUAUGGAAAUAAAGAGUGCCCAGAGCUCAAUCAUAUAUCCAAUGAGCAUGGUGAAAGAGAUACAAUACAACCAGAACACAAACAAAAUGCAUCUCAUCAGCGAUAUGUGCUUAUUUCAACUAAUUCGGCUUCCUUGUUACCAAUACAUACCUUCUUUUCCAACACUGAGUACGUUAGCAAUUGCUUGGCAGGUGACCUUGUAGGAAUUUGGAAUAGCUAUGUGCUCAUGAUUUCCUAGCACUGGCAGGAUCAGCAGCCAAGCUGUGAAAACAAAAAAUCAUUAGCACUUGUAUGUAAAAGGCAAGCUCAAUGAAGGACGCUGUAAGUCUUUGUUCCAAGAGAACUCAUACAUGAUCUCUGGUGAAACACAUAGGCAAUAUAUCUAGUGAUCUCAUUAGCUUGUCCACCAUGGAGAAGCAGUUCCUUUGCACCUCUGUGAUUUCUUCUUUCAACCUUCCAGAUAACAUCAGGUCAAGGCUUAUUAUUUCAAAACUGCAAUUCAAGUGGAGCCCAUAAAAUUUUCCAGCUCCUUGGGGAACAUUUUGCUCAGCAUAAAUAUAGAAGCUGGAAUCUCUGCAUAAAACUAUACUUAAAUCAGAAGAUCUGAAAUUACAUCUUCCAUCUUAUAAAAUAAAAUACUGUUAACCAAUUGAAUCACAUAACAUACAGUGGGCCAAAUUGCCAACAAUCUUCGCCUCUAACACCAUGCAACUGUUUACUUCUUUAUCAAACAACUCGUUCCUCAUGAUUCAGGCAUAAGAACUUCAUUUACGUGUUGAUCAGCAAGAAAAGGCUCUAAAGAGCCCCAGGUUCUUCCAACUUUUAGUUUGACAUGCAAAGGAACUGAAAUGAAUGUUGUACAAUUAUGGUUAAUUACAUUAUCAAGAUGUCAAGAUUUUGUUGGGAAAAAAAAAGAGUAUUGAACACAUACCAAGAAGAGAAGCAGCAUCUUCCAUGCUCAUUUGUAACAGCAAUGCAGCUUCAUUGAUCAAGGAUGGAUCAACUUCCAGCACUAGCUCGUCAUGUACCUGAAUAGUAGUCACCAAGAUUCUUAUCAACUUUCUCCAAUGACACUGCAACUCAAAGUUCAGAUUUAAAUGGGAACCUUGCUGGAUUGACAGAUCAUAGACCAACAAAUGCACAGAUCAGAGUUCCAGUGUCCAAGCAAUUACUAUAUAUACUUCUCAAAGACAUUGGAAAUGAAGGAAUAUUUCAAAAAAAAAACUGAAGAAAUUGAAGCAGUUUUCCAAAGUAACCUGUAAUAGAAUUCGGCAUUGGCCCUUCAGCAUGUGAAACUUGUUUGCAUGUAAAGAGCUAGACUCUGGCCUAUCAACUCCAUCAACAAUCAGAGAGUGUAUAUUUAUCAUUGCAAUCUUGAUUAAGUCAGCAGCAGAUCCCUGUAAGAAGCAGCUAUCAGGACAAAACUAUUAUUAACCCAUGCUGUCCUAAUGUCUUUGACCAUCCCAAAAAUCACUAUACCUGACAGAUAGAAUUAACUGCUUGUCUCUGAGCUUUUGAUUUUUCUUCACUAUUUCCGAAUUUUAUUUUCGACAAGAACCGUUUUCUUCCCUUAAUGGUCUCCACAUAUCUGAAUUAACAGUAAAUAGAUACUUAUACUGAUAAUUAAAUCUUAAGGAACAAGAAAACUUGAAUGCCAUGCUUAAUCACAAGUAACUUUAAAUACAGAGCUACACGCCUCUUGAUUUAAAAAGGAUUGUCUUCGCAUGACAUCAAAUAGAAAAUACAAGAGACAACUUACUUUUGAUACCAGUGAUGAUAUGCAUUAGAAGAGCAUGUACAGCUAAACAUUUGCAAAUAAAAAAGAUGACAAUACAUGCAUCCAAAAAGACUUCAAAAUUAUGAUGAUAUGCAUUAGAAAAACAUAUACAGCAAAACAUUUACUUAUAAAAAAGAUGAAAUAUAUGCAUCCAAAAUGACUUCAAAAUUAUGCAAUACCUUUACCACUUGAACUAAAUGAAAAUAGAUUAAGAUGACAAUAGAACUAAAAUAAGUCAAGUGAAGACUCACUGCAAUAAGAUAACACCCUUACCCUUUUUCACGGCAAGAUGCAACUGCUUCAUGGAGCCAGGAAGCAACCCCAGGAAAAGAACUUUUGAAGCUUUUAAUUUUUUCUGCAGCUUCAUCUGAGCUACAAUCCAGUUGUUCAGCAAGAGUGUUAGCACCCAUUCCAUAAAGAAUUCCAUAAACCAUCCUUUUGGUCUGAUCUCGCUCAACUGAGCUGACAGAAGCUUCAGGCUUCCCAGUCCAUUGUGCGGCUAUUAGGUUGAAAACAUCGCCAUGUGGCUUGGUAAGGAGUUUAAUUAAUGCAGUGUCUUUAGAGAAAUGUGCCAUCAGUCGCAAUUCUAUCUGAGAAUAAUCUGCUGUUAACAGUAGCCAGUUAUCCUGCAAUAAGAAUUUGAGCUUUAGAUCCUUUGGGAAUAAGGAUUGAUGCAUAGAAAGCAUAAUCUACAGGCCCCACAGGACUUUUAUCAUUCUCCAGUUUGCAUUACCGAAAGCAAGGGGCUAAAUUAGCUCAAGGAUUUUUAAUACCCUAGACUGUUUUACUUUUCCAGGCUAUACUUUCAAGUUCUAAGAAGAUAUUUGAUAUAUACUGGAUAAUAACUACAAAUACAUAUAAAUUCAUUACGUGAGAAGCAUGAGACAAGGUUACAAGCUAAAUGACCAUAUUACCUGAGUAGGAACAAAGAAGUCACGGGCAUUUAUUUUAUAAUGCUCAGGUUCAGCAUCAUCCCCCUCUUUAUCUGAACUCAUUUCGAAAUCAACUGCGUGUUCAACGCACUGCAUAACUCAAAAGCAAGAAUGGUUACCAACACUAAAAUUAAAUUCAGAUUACUAAAAAAAAGAAAAGAAAAGAAUCACUGUAACAAAAGAAAGGGUGAAUAUAAAUAAUUAUAACCUGAAGAUUAGGUUCUUCGAUUGAAAGCCGACCAGUAGCUGUUGAUGUUUGGAGCCAAUGGCCAUGUAGUGUGUACUUCUGAGUCUCCAUAGAUAGCCUUGCCAGUGAACAGAUUGAUCCCAGUGUCGAGUUUAAAAGCUUUGCUAAUGUCCUGUGCUCUCUGAUGACUGGAACAAUAGGAUGCUCAUGCCUGAAAGGAAACAAAUCCUAUUAAUGUACUUCUUUUCACAAACAUAAUAAAUGCAGCGAGUAAGCCACCAUGAAUCAUCUAGAUACCCAGAGCAUGACAGGAUAAACUGCUUUGUUUGUAAUCAAAAUGUACAAGGGCCAGUACUCAAUAAACUGUAAAAGCCAGGUAAAUUUGAAAGCAAUGCCUUCAAUCAGGGAUGGUCAUUUCUGGUAAUUCAGGCUGGAUGAAGGGAAUUCAGGAAGUUAACUUGAACUACACGUUUGGGUUGGGUAAGUUUGGCAACAUAAAAUUGGUUUCGGUUGGUUAAUGAAAAAGAAAUUUGGGUCACAUUGACCCAAUUUUCUUUUUCAUUAACCAACCGAAACCAAUUUUAUGUUGCCAAACUUACCCAACCCAAACGUGUAGUUCAAGUUAACUGAGCCCAUUUUGAAUUUGUUGGGCCCUUUAUAAUAAAAAUAUUAUUUUAUUAGUUAAAAUAAUAUAACUUGAAAAGCAAGAGACAACAUGACAAGAACUUACAAGAACUUAUGUGAACUAAUUAUCUUUUAUUAAAUUGUCUAUUUCAUAAUAAUAUAUAUUAAUAUUGGUUUUACCAAUGUCAGAUAAACUGCUAUGUUUGUAAUCAAAAUCAUUCUAGGAAACAAAUACCCUUUAUUUACAAUCCAUUUGUGAAUUGAAAAAAAAAAACACCCUAAAUCGACAAAUAAAAAGUUAAGGUGAAAAUCUUUGUAAGAUGUAAAAAGGGUAAUGAACAAAGGGAUGAUUCUCAUCUCAACAACUUUUGUUAGAACAUAAGCAUAGAAGAAAAAUAACACAAAUUGCAAUUUAAACAAGAGAUAAAAAUGUUAUUUCCAUUGUAGGAUAUAGGAUAUACAGGCCUUGCAUCUUUGGAGGCCCAGAGUUAAGGAAUGAAAAAUUAUAUACGACAAAAUUAAAAAAGAAAAUAUAGUCCAGGUAACUUGGGUACCCAAACUUUCUCUUACUACAAAUUGCCUCAAAAAGAUUCAGGUUGUAACCUAAUCCAACUCUAAAACCAAUCUAAAGGAAUUAGUUAACCCAAAUUGAAUCAUGCAGUUCAGAUAAAUCCAGAUAACUCAGACCCAUAAAUCAAUUGAAACAUAUAUAUUGUCAAUGGGGUCUUCCAUCAUGCAAUUAAAACUUUCACAUUGAAAAACUAUAAGGUCAACAAUUAUAAUCCAUCCUAUUUAUUAAAUAUUCAGAUUUUAUCAGAGGCAUUACACCCAAAACAUUAAGAGUAAAGGUAGAAUUGGGCUGCUCUAAAUGACCACAAGAGCAAUUCUAUUACUCCAUUCAGGGCAUUGUACAGCUCAACAAAGACUUAAUCCAAAUUACUUUAUCUUGUAAGCAAAUAAGAAAAGAGUUGUGUACUUAUGACAAAAGCCAUAGCCAUGACAGUCUCCAGGAGCAAGAAUAACACUUGAUUAUCCACACAAAAAAAAAAAACACAGAUCUAUAUAGAUAACUUGGACAUUCAUUUUGCAUAUACAAAUAUUGCAAGAUGUGCUUAGCAUAUUUUUCACUUAAAGGCAUUGGUACUAAAAAGUAAGACCAUCUCAUACCUUAACAAAUCCAAACAAUGCUUGUCAGUGCUAGGAUGUUUUUUCCCCUUAUCGUGUCCUUCUGGAAUGGGAAGCUUCAAGUGUCUGUAUAGAAUAUUUGCAAUGUCUGCUGCUGUGUACAGUGAAAAUGUCAUGCCAGCCAGCUUAUAAGCCUUCUUCUCAAGAUACCUUAGCCUUUUCCCCAGCACAGUGCGUGCAUUUAGGCACCCCUCCAUGUCAACACCGAUCCCCCAAAGCUCCAUGUCAGCAAGAACAUUCACCUGAUACAAAUUUGCAAGCAAUAGAUUAGUAAUGUGAACAUCAAGUUACAGAGUGAAAUUACUGACGAUACUGGCUCAGUGAUUCCAAAACCAAAAAUAUCUCGCAUCACAUGACCAUUUGUGGAUGUGCAUGACCAGCCAUACGAGAGGCCAAGAUUCUAUGAAGAUACUAACACUAGAUGAUAGCAGCUUCCAAUUAAACAGUUUGAUAGCAACUUUUCUUCUACAAAACAAAUAAAGGAAUUUAAUAUAGAACAGAAUCUCUACCAAACGAUCAUGUGUUACCAUCCCAACAAUUUCCAUGAAAAUAAGUAAGGUGAAGCUCAAGAUAUUAAGCUCCAAUUUUAUUGAAAUAUCAUAUAAAAUUUUAAACUUUCAAUGCCUAGAAACAAAUUUACAUUUAAGGAAGUAUAGCUGAAAGCAACAGAAUAUUUACCAGCGGGAUUUCAAUGUUCUUGAGUGCUUCAAAGAGUCCCUCAGAAGUCAGUAACUUCCAAAGACCAGAGCAUAGGGCUCUUGUUUGCGCAACGCGGCGACAACAGCCAUUAUGAGCAACUCUUCGCAUCUGAUUCUUCCACCUGCCAUUCUGAUUAGCAGCUGCCACAGCCUCACUUGAUAACCUUUUCUUGACUUCCUGCAUCAUCAAUUCAUCAUCAUGACAAUCAGUGGAACAGGAAAGAAAAAAAUAAAAAAAAAGGUGCCUAUCAUGAAAAGGAAAGGAAACUUCCCCUUCCAAAGACAGACUGCACAAGCUAUUCUUCGGAUUCACAUUUUAAAUGCAGCUAGUUAAUAUUACCUUCUCCAAGUUCGGAUUGGAGCUUCUCUCCUCAUCAGGCCAAAGAAUCCAUGCCACAAUGCACAUGUCGAUUGCUUCUUUAAUGUUAAUAGGGGAUAAUGUAAAGUGCGAACCGCCUAUGAGUUCAGGACCAAAUAUUUUCCUUGGAAAACUCGGGCAGCCAAAUCUCUGAAUGGAAACUACAGCACCCUUGAGCACCUGAAGUUGAACUUUCAAAUUCCAAGUAAAUUUUAGGACACCUCUCUUUCCCAUUAUUUCUCCAAUCUUGUUCCAUCUCUUCCGAACUAUCUCCAACCAAUUCUCAGGUGGUUGAACAUUAUUUUUGUCACCAGAUUGACUGGGAGUUGAAUCAUUCCUUUGCUUAUGAGACCAAAGUAGGUCCUUAGGAAGAUUGAUGAAGUACACAGGAGAGUUUUCCCAGCAGAUGGCAAUACCAUGUAUUUCAAAUAGGCUGACAGAAUUUACUUCUGAUCGCUUGUUAUAAUGGAUAUCAAAAUAGAAUUCUUGGGUAGCAUCCCAGAGAUCCAAGAAAGAAUCAAAUCCACCAGAAAUAUUACUUGCAUUAGUAGGACCCUUCUUACAAGCACUGUCCUUUUUAUCACUACUUAAAUUCUCUCCACUACACUGCCCCUGAACUCUGGUAUCAGUGAUCCGGUCAUUGGUCCCAGUUCCAUCACCGCUAUGUCCAAAUUGUACAGAGAGGAUUGUUUCUGCACUAUUCUUAUUAUCACCAGUAGUACAAAGCUCAGUGCCAAGAUUUGAAGAUUUCUUAGCUGGUACUGUAGAAUUUUCAGCACCAAUAUAGCACUGAACGGGACCAUUUGAGUUUCCUUCUGCAGCAACUACCAAUCCAACACUGACUGGUUUCAUUAGUUUGUCUUCUCCGGUUCCCAUUGUAACUUUACCAGAAUUCUUGCUACCUUCUAUGAACAGCAUAGAUGAAGCAUGAUCUCUUUUAUCCACAUGCAAAAUGAUAUUAGAUUUAUCUCCAAACAAGGUACCUGCAUUUCCUUGCUCAACAAGAUUUUCGGGAGCAUUGGAUAACAAAGGCGGAGAAAACUGUGGAACAUUGAAUCCAAGUGAUUUGAAAGCUUCAAAAGCAAUAACCCUUGCCUCUUCUGCUUUGUCAAGUACAAUUUUACGUGCACCAUUCUUGAUUUUCUUCGCAAUUCCCAAUUGCACGCGUCUUUGUGCUGAACCUUCUGCAUCAAUUUUCUCAACUUGUGUGAAUCAUAAUAAAUCCAAAUAUUUAAUACAUGCAUCUAUAAAUGCAUGCUACACAACAGAGAGAACAAGGGUACACAAAGUCUCUAUUAGAAGGCAUGUAGUAGGAACAUCAUUGCAAAUAUUAGAAAAGUUCCAUUACAAGUAUGAUACUAAAUAUGAGAUACUUAGAUUUAGAUCAGAUAUCCAUAGAUGCAUGUUUAGAAAACAGAAAUAACAACCAAGAAUGAAACCUCACCCCAAAAUUUUACACACUAAAACCUAAAAAAGAACUAUAUGCCCUAUGAUCCUAACCUGCAAACCUAUACUGAAUAUACAACCCUAAACUCUUCGGCACAUUUUCCCUAAGACCCCCAAAACCAAACCUGGCAUUAAUGAGAACAAACUCAGUUAGAAACCCUUAUAGCUGUAACUCAAUUACAUCUAAGUGUUAAAUCCUGAAAAUCUCAACCUCAAUGAUAAACAUGAAACCUAAAUCCAUAUACCAAUACCUAAAUUGCUGAGCACAAAAGGAAAAAAUAAAGGAUCACAAAGAAUACGACAGGACAAAACUAAAAUAUAGGCAUGUGCAUCUACACACACAACUUCAAUGCGAAAUAUAACUAUUAUAUUUGAAUGUAAAUAGAUCUUUACACACAGAUACAAUGUGCAGGUGCACAUGUAGUCUUGCAGACAGAGUGCAUGUUUGGGCGUGCCACAAAAUCCAAACCAAGAAUUUGUUUCUCAUACACCACAAGAAAGACUCGUUUUCCUAUCUAAGAAACUCAUCCAUUACAAAUUGCCAAACCUAAAGCAUGCAACAACAUUCUAGAAUCUGUUGCCACUUGGCAUGAUGUUCAUAUAUCUGUGAUUUCUUUCUUCCAAAAUAUAAAAGGUACAAACCUCUCAAAGUGGGGAAAGAAUUCUGUGAUAAAUAAAUUCCAUAAGAAUCACAAAAUAAUCUCCCAUAAAAGAAGAAAUCGCAUGUAAGUUACACCAAGGAAAGUCUUCAGUUAGGACAUUUUAGCUAGAAUAAAGAUAGCAUGCAUUUUCUACACAAAAUCAUCAUAUAAGAGGUCAUGUGCUGAAAACUCUAUCAAGUUCACCUUGUGCAGACCAUGAUGAAGAUUCAAAAAGUGCUUUGCCUAUUUCAGGAAUAGAUGCUUCAGCAAUAGCUUGAGGAGUACGCAACCCUGCUUUAUAGAGUGCCCUUGCUCGAGAACCCUACAAAUGAAGCAGUGAAAAUAAUGGCCAUCUCUGAAUCAUUAACUAGAAACUUUGAAGCAUCAACAGGAUGACAAAUAACUAUUACAACUAUGUGUUAGCAAUCUUGCAGAAAAAAAUAGAAGCAAUUGAUUACCUUAACAUAUGGAAUAUUAGUGAGCUCCACAAUCUCUGCUCUCACUCCAAAUGAAACACGAUUUUGGAACUUCGCAACCAGACCUUCAAGAUCAUGCCAUCCAAGUCUUUCACAAAACACAGAAACCAUAGAUGCAAAUCUUCCAGCAUUCUCUUGUAAGGAUUGGACCAUGCCUCUAGCAACUUUAAAAGCUUCACACACCUCAGGUACAGGUGCUUCCUUUAUGCCAGAAUUUAAACAGCAUUUAUUCAGCAAAGCAAUGAACUAAAAAAUAAAUAUAAAAAUCAGCAUUUAUUAGCAAGCAGAAGCAAACACAACCCAUGAUAAACAAAUAUUAGGUAUCAUAUCCAGGUAACCAUGUGAAUAAAUAAGCAGAAUACUUGAUAAAUAUACUUUUUCUGGAUAAAGAAACAACCAAGAAUCUAUAUUCAUAGUAUAUGCAAUUUACACAUGGUAUUAUAUGCCAACGCGCACGAAAUAAACACAAAAAAUAGAUGUACUCAAAAGGAUGUGAAUCGCACAAGAAAAUAUUUGGUUCCCUGAGUCAAUAUUAUUGAUCAGAUAGGAGGAAAAAUGAAAAGGGAUGAAACACCUGCACAAGUCUUGACAAGAUGAGAGCAACAAAAAAUCUUUUGCACACCCUACGUGUCUGAUCAUCUGAAAUGGCACUUUUGUUUGUAACCCCAGAUUGGUUUUCAUACUUGCUGGCAUGCAAGGCUUUUGUAUUAUCUAUUGAUCUGUUCAAGCUGCGCAUAGGUGCUCCAUGUGCCAUCCGCAUCAAAAAUGGCUCUGAAACUCCAACUCGAUUUCCAACAGACUUCAUUCCAUGAAAUUGGAAAAGAAAAGGGUAAGAUAUUUAAAGCAUUAUUGAAAAUCCAGAGAAAAGAUCAAUCAAAUGUGAAACAAUAACUCAAAGAUUGGGAAAAAAAAUGAGCAGAGGAAAAACAUCACCUCUAUUUCUACUGUUUAGUAAUUUAAUCAUGCAUAAUAGUACCAAUAUCUGUUAGUUUACCUGAACUAAUUACAUGAAGAAAUUAUGUUGGUUCAAUUCUACUGCUUUUUUCUUUCCUAUCACUCUUUGAAUUUUAAUGAACUUGGUGCUCUGAUCAUAUGUUCUGUGCUAAGUGGCAUCUACAUAGAGAGGUCAAAAGAUUUGAACUCUAUGUGGCUUUAAUAUCACCAAGCAGGUUACAUCUGAAAAGACCAUUGGCCAGGAUUAAAGAAUGCUAUUCAGGAAUCACAUGUCACACACCAAACAUAUAGAUUCAACAUACAGAAAUCCAUCUCUCACAAAAAUUGGAAAGCGGCCACAAGGUAUCAGUUGUCUCCAACUUGCAACGAAAAGAAUGCCUAAUAUCAACUGACACAAGGUGAUCAAAACCAACAACAUUACCUGAUCAAGGAUAGACAAUUCCAUAAACCUUUCAUAAUACAAUUCCCAGUUCGGCUCAACAUCAACAUUGAUUGGUGUGACUAAGAACACUAAAUGCAAAUCGGACGCAAGCACAAAUCCUUCUCGUGCUCUGGAAAGAUCAUCUAGCACAAUCUAGGAAACCAGACAAAAAACCACAAUAAAUGAAAGCACAGGCGCGUGUCAAAUAGUUAGCUACAGCAAUUAAGAGAGAAAAAAUUGAAAAGCAAGCAAACUCACUAAGAGAAUGCUUAGGAAAACAUGUUAAACAAAAGGGAUGCAACCAACAGAACAUUGGUCUGGAAAUGGAGCGAAAAAUGCAGAAAAAAUAAGGCUACAGAUCUUUACAAGUGAUUCUUCUGGACAAAGAGAACUGCCAAAAGCUGCACGUCCAAGAGGUGUUGUGCCAUAUAGCUUAGUAUCUUCAUUCCAUUCAAGAAAUUUUCUGUGGCACAACCAUCUAAGUGAAUCCUGUGCUGAUUUCACAACAUCCCUGAACGGUUUUGUAGAAUUGAGAAGAGUACAUCUAACAUAACGAUGAAUAUCAUUAGCAGUUUGAACAAUCCCACCAGCCACAACUUCUAAAAUUGCAUGUGUCAUUCCAUUUUUAUCUUCAGAUAGACACGACUGCAAUGGUGGACAGCUUUCAUUAAGAAGUCCCAUAAUUCUUUUUAACUCUUCUGGUUUGCAAAUCAGUACCUGAUCAGGUAAAGCUAUACGACUGUUAAAUGGAAAAGGAUAAUUGCAUUCAAAAUAAAUCUAUGCCCUCUUCAGCAAAAUUAAAGGUAAGGAGACAAAACACGGAUUAUUCAAAUACUACUAGCAAGUUCCUAGGGAUAAGCUUACACUUUCCCCUUUAGUAUCUAUUCCAGUUCGACCAGCUCGACCAGCCAUCUGUUUGUACCUUGUCCCGUCAAUGAAAUCACGACCAAUUCUGGGUUGUCGAAAAAUGACCCUCCUAGCAGGCAGGUUAACCCCGGCAGCUAAGGUAGAUGUAGCAGUUAAGAUGCGCAAAAGACCUUUACGAUAGCAGGUCUCAAUAAUUUCUCUUUCCUCUACCUGUAAGAAAGAGAACAUUAUAAUCCUUUGAUGACACAUCUAAUAGAAAGGAAGUAUAUACUUAAAAACAACAACCAAGCCUCAAACUACUUGGGGUUGGCUGUAUAGAUCCUUUUGCACCAUUCCACACAAUUAAGUGUAUAAUUUUUUAAAAAAAAAGUACAUGAAUGAAUAUAUACAACACACAUUAUCCACCAAAUAAACCACAUCAUGAAAAAUAGAUAAUAAAAGUUGCAAGAAAUUAGAUUACCAGAACAUAAAUAAAAAAAGAGAGCCAGGAAAUCAUACCGUCAAGCCAGCAUGAUGAUAGGCAACCCCAGAAGGUAGAGUUUCUUCCAACGUUGAAUCCAAUCCUGCGGGACAUCUUCGCAGUGCAUCAAUGGCCGAAGUAAUAUCACCAAACUCGCUCUCAUUCUGAAUGUUAAUAGAAAACUUCUUCACAAAUUUUGAAACAUGCCUCGCAGUUGAUUCACAUCCUUUUCGACUAGAGCAGAAUAUUAACACUGAAUGUCCAUCUUGAACAACCUGAAAUACAUAACAGCCAUCCAAAAUUAUUCAGCUUUCUAAUAAUUAGAUACAGCUUGAUUCACAUUAGAAAAAGAAGGGUCCCUGCCUCAUUGCAUAGUUCCACAAUAUGAUCUGGAUCUUUACCACCCAGGUCAGCUGCUCUUGAAAGUGUUCUAACAAUAUCCAUUUUCUUGUCAUAAAUUGUGUUGCCAACUUUAAUGUAUUCUUCUAGUGGAACCGGUCGGAAAUUUGUCUGGUAUAGUGCGGCCUGCACAAAAGAUUGGUUGCAAAAACAAUUUGAUGAAACUAUCAAAUGCACAAUAAUAUUGAGAAAAACAUAUAAUACAGUCAGAGUGGCAGAGAAACAAGUUCUUGAAAAGGUAAGAGCAAACAAACAUCCUGUACAGUAUAGAAGUACAAUUAAAAGUUGUUGUACCUAGAUUAAUCUGGUCCUAUAUGUUUAUUAAAAGACUCUCACCUAUGGCUGACCAGUAAGUUGAAGAAACAAAAAUUAAAAAAACCUUAGUCGGACAAUCUUUUGUAAACCCACUUACUUGAAGCCAGUCAGCAACUGCUGCCACAUUGGGCAUGGUAGCACUCAUCCCAACAAUUUGCAGACCAUGAGCAGCAUCACCCUUACUGCUUGUACCUGAGCUUUCUCCGCUGCUGGAUUCUGUAUUGCCUUCACCAGCAGCAUAACGAAGCUUUGUCAGCAGAAGUUCCAAAAGGUAACCCCUGCUCUGAUCACCAACCUGUCCACGAAAAAAAAAAAAAAAAGACCACAAUACUUAAAUUAUACAGAUAAAUAAACCUAAUGAAUAAUUUAUGAAAGCUGUAUGAGUCAUACUUAAUCACAUGUCUAAGUAAAGGGAAAUCAUAGAAAACAUCCAGUUUAAGUUUUUCUCUACAUAAAUUUUUCUUCCUAUAUUGUUGAUCAAAUGUCAUUUCACUAGAAAGGAAAAAAAACAUCCAUAUCUAGAGAUUAUUGAAUGAACAAAAAUGCUUGUACCUGAAACAUACAAAGUUUUAGAGGAAGAUUUUGAACAGUGAUUAGGCUCCUCUAUGGGUGACAGGAUUUUUUCACAUUGCACACUCCCAUUAAAGCACCUCUUUACGCUCACAAGUGCCAGUGAAGAUUGAGGAAGAGGGAGGUACAGAGUUGUUAAGAGAGAAUGAAAAGAAGGGUCUGGAGGGUGAAACUUAAAGAGCAUAUUUGUAAUUUUACUCCAUAUUAAUGAAACUUCAAAAUGCCAUCAGCUAAGGACGCAAAGUGUUACCUCAUGCAUCAUGGGGGUUGUUUCGAUGUUCUCACUUAAAUAACAAACAGCCAUAUAGAUAUAUACAAGAAGAGAUAUGGUUUACAAUCAUGGGAACCUAUGAUUCGAAUUACCAUGUGUAGUUCAUCUAUCACCAUGAUUCCAACUUCUGAUAGACGACCCUCUUCCAGUAAUCUGUUUAUUAGGGAGUUUGCUUUCUCUAUUGUGCAGACAGCUACGGAAGUAUCUUUAGGAAGUGUUCCUCCACCCUGGUUGCCAUAAUAACUCCGGACAUGCAUACCAAGAGGUUCCAGAAGGCCCUCCAGAUGUUCUGCCUGGGAAAAUUAAGACACGGAUAAAAUAUACAUGGUAUACAGUAUAUCACAAACAGGUCAUGCACUAAGAAAAGAGUAAGAACAUUUCGUAAUUCCAGGACAAAAUUAUCAAGAGACCUUUUCUGCACAAAUUGAUACAUAGGGAAGUACAAGAAGCGCGAUCUUUCCAGUUGAUAUAACCCGCCGCAACAUCAAAAUUUCCGCAACAAAACUUUUACCAGCACUGUGGCAGGGAAACAUGUUUAAGGAAUGAAUACCGCAUCAUAAGACACAACCAAAACGGGAAAGGAGAAGGAAAACAUUGAUUAGAAUUUGUUCUCCUUCUAAACAACAAGGUUGCUGGCACAAAAUAGAAAUAAGUGAUAGAAAAUGUAUAAAUCUGUUACAGAAUAUAAUCUGAAAUCAAAUUAACAAAAAGUACCUUGUAGACGCGCAAUAUACAAGAUUUCGUCUCUGCAAAACACCAUCCACCUGAAGGCAAUCAACCUGGAAAACAGAACAGCCGAAUACAUCAGAGUCAGACAGACAUAUUGAAAUAUAUGAGCACCAACACAGAAAUCUCAAUAAAUAAAUAAAUACAAAAAGAGUUCUGCAACCCCACUGGAAGCAUAAUUGUGCUUGAACACUGGAGAAAAAUAUUCUAUAGAUGACCUCUGGCAAAUCAAAAGCCAAAAUUGAGAAAUUGUAUAUGAGAGUUUGAACAGUUCAUAUGUACACGCCCUGUGCAGAAAAGCAUUAAAACAAAAGGAAAAGAAAAGGGUAUAUAAUGAAGCCCAAACAACAUAUAGAUAAGAUUAGAAAAAUAAUAUGGAGAGAAUACAAACGGAAAGCACAACACUUGAAAAUCAAAAGUAAAUCAAGUUUUACACCAAGUUAUGCAAUAAAACCAAAACAAAAAGGAUUGGCAACAAGUAGAUAGGUUGGAACUCAGAUGAGCAAUCUUGAAAUAAAAUAAAUGUGCACUGGAAAAGGGAUUACAAAACAUGCUUUAAUACUCCAAAGCUAAGAAAGGUUUUUUUCUAUGAGAUAAAGACUGCAAGAAAGCAAUAUAAAGAUUCAGAGGGUAAAUUUGAACCUCGAUUAAAGAUGCUCCUCUUCACUCUUUGAGUAACAAAAAUAAUACAGGAAUGGCACUACUGCCUGAUAUAACAAAAAAAACACCCCAAACUUUGGCUCUAAUGAUCCAUCUCUGUCCAGGUUAAAAUUGGACUACAUAUCCGAACAUCAAGUUGGUAAGGAUGGAGUGUGACAAGCCAUUGAAUUAAACCAAUGAAGUAGCCGGUUACUUAUCUGAGUUUUACUAAAUGUGAUUGAGUCCAAUACAAACAAAUUCCACAAGAAAUACACUAGUGGCAACCCAAAACUACCCUAAACAUUUGUACAAGUUACACCAGUCUGUGGAAGUCUUCUUAUUUCAUGAUGGUGAAAACCAACCUCAUAAGAAUUAUAUCUGGGGCCAUUACAAGUGGACCCUAGUCUACAUCUGUGUCCCAAAAAUGAAAGAGAUAGGAGAGUCUCUCCAUAGUGGACCCAAACACCCAAAACUGUAACAUGAGGUGGGUAACUUAUGUACAGCAGGAGAGAUAACAAAAUAAACCUUGUCAUUUCCAUCCUGAUCACUUAGCAGGAAUAUAAAGGCAACCUCAAGUAUUGUGAUUCAAAAGUUUGAAGAUACCUGCCAAGGAUACAGUUUUGAAAUUCCUUUCCUCUUAUAUAUGCUGCAUACUUCUAGAGGAAGCCAGUUGCUAAGAUCUAACCGGUCCUUGAGCGGCCCAAAACUUGAAGGAGUUCCAGCUUCAACACACUCAUUAUUAUCAAUUACAUUCCUGGUGUCUUUAACUGGCAAAUGAUAUAUAAUGCUAUCGGCAUCUUGAUUUGGCAAAUCCACUUUCUUUGUGGUCUCUGUAUCCACAGUUGUUUUCUCCUCUUCUUUAUGCAUCUCUUCUCUUGGCUCAUCUUUGAGAUGAUAUGUUACAAUAUUCGCAUUUUGAAGCUUUUGAGAUUAAUAGAACCGUGCUCAGAUUUUUCACUGCUUCUGUCCACAUUUGAAUCAUCUUUAGCACAGGGUGGGGUGCUAACUUCCAAGUUCCUGUCCUCAAAUAGUGAGUCAAGUUGUUUGACAGGCAGUGGAGAUACUUUUUCCAUAUGCUUCCUUAUAAACUCCAAUGAACAACCUCUGCUGCCGGCUUCGUUUAACAAUUCCCGUGAUAGGUUGCCAGACUUCCCAUUAAUGAUAUUUCCAACUGCCUGGACAAAAGGAUUGUCAGCUUCAGAAAAUAAACUAUCAGCAACUUGAAUUGCUUCAUUCCAAAAUGCAUCUCCUGGUGAAAAGAUAGAGCUUCCACGUGUAGAUUUGGGACCAUCACUACCGCGUCCUCUACAAAUUGAUGAUCCUGGUGUACAGCAUUCAGCCAUAUUUACCGUUGAGUUAGCCAUUUUGUUGCAUUUUCUCAAGCUUGUUUGAAGCUGAACAGGAUCGUUACCAACAGCUACCUGCCAUGAAAGUGCAGGAGUAGGAGGAAAAGAAUGGUCAUAAACCAGAGACCUCACAUAUAACAGUGAUAAGACUGUUUCAUAAUACACCAAUUUUACCUCUCCAAAAGAAUUGAAAACAGAUGCUCCAUUUUUAACAACAAAAGCAGAUUGCUUGUCUUCUGGCUUCUUCUCGAUUGGACAAGGGGUUUCAACUUCAGAAUUUAACUGAUUGGACAUGCAUAACCUCUUUUUGGAUGUUUUAUAAUCAACAUCCACUAGCAAUGGACCACCAUUUCGCUUAUGGUCAUUCAACUUUGUCUUUGAAGGUGAAGUUGCAGUUGAUUGAAGUUCACUGCAAUAAAAUGAUUAGCAAUGACAUUUGCAUAGUGAAAACAGACACAAACACACUACAUAACAUAAUUUCAAUGGACAUACAGAAGUUUAAACUACAUUACCCACAAUACAGAGACAAAAAAUCAGUAGCAAACUGUUUUAGUUCCGAAUUCUCCACCCCAUUCCCCACAUCCAAGCAACCCUUCACAACCCUUUCAACCGCAAUAUUCCCCACAUUUCCUGCAUUGGACGAACCUUGAGACAUUUCCUUCUGAACCACUUUGCCGCCUUCACAACUUCCCACGCACAAUCGACCAGACACAAGAGAUUCCUCCUCUUCUUCAUUUGAAACUUCAUCAAUCUCCAAUGUCAAGCUUCUUUUAACCAAGAAACCACCCCCACGGUUAUCAUCCUUCGAGUUCACCAAGUAAUUAUCCAAAGUUCCUUUGGCACUGGGGGACCCUUCAACUACUUUGCUUCUUGCAUCUUUUUCGAUCCUUCCCGACUUCAAAUUCGGCGACGAAGAUUUCCUCUUCCUCGACGCAAAAAACUGUAAAUUAAAUCACAGACACAAGCAAAGCACGUGUUGGAAUAAUUAAAUCCGCACUAAAAUAUAGUAAAUUAGUUCAAAUCUUCUAUGAUCUGAAUUCAAAUUUGACUAAUUUCGAACAAGCACAGUUUUCAAAAGUCAGAUUCAGAUUUUCUUUAUCUUUGAAGAAAGAUCGAUUUUUUUACCGUUGGGAAGUUUCUAGGGUUUAGGGGGCCCACCUGAUCGAUGCGAGUCCGAGGAGAAUCAGACGCCAUGGGAGAAGGAGAUGGGAGAUUUCGACGGUGAUCUGCAAAACCCUGGGAUUUUAUUCACGCGGUGGUGUUUUCUUGGAAGGGAGCUACUACGACGUCGUGAAAGAUUUGAAACUUCAAACUGGUGAGGGCAAGAGCGCCAAGUACUCGCUGGAUCCGAGCACUGUGGGUCUUUAUUCACGUGGGCUCCGUCUAGACUCUACAGGGCGAGAGUGGCAUGGUAGUAAAUUAUGGGAAACUUGAUGGGAGGUGGCUCCUAGCGUCAUUUGAUUUUAUUAAAUUUUGGGCAUAUUUGAUAUUUCAGCGUGUCUAUGCUUUUUAAAAGAUUUGAAGAAAAAAAAAGUAUAUUUUAAAUUGGUUCUUUUAUGUUUAAAUUAUUAUAUUAUAAUGAUAUAUCAAAAAUAAAUUUCAAAAAUAAUAUUAUUUUAAUAUAUUUUUAAAUAAAAAAUAUAUUAAAAAACAAUCAUCACUACUACAACAAUAAACACUACUUAUAUCUCUAUAAAUCUAUACUCAUUUUCUGGUACGGGGUAUUUAUGAAUUUUAUUAGAAUAAAGCUAAGCCUUGUUAAGUUCAAGCAAAUGAAGGUCUCGUUUAUUUGGUAGAAAUUAUUUUUUAAAAACCACUUUACAAACUUUCAUAUUUUUAUUUGUCAUUAGAAAAAUUGGUCAAUAAAAAAUAUUUUUCAGUCAAAAAAAUUAAUUUUUUUUCUAGAAAAGUGUUUUUCUUUUUUUUUGGGAGGAACAUACUUUCUAAAAAUUAUAAAAUUUUUAAAAAUAUCAUAUUAUUUGUUGAUUAUAACAAAAUAUCAUUAGAAAAAUUGUUGAUUAUUAACUUUGGUUCUCAUUUUUAUUAUUGUUAUUUAUUUUUCUCUUAUUAUUUUUUUAAUUAAAAAUUUUUAUCUAUCAAAUUUGGUCCUCAUUCUUUUAAUUUUUACUUAUUUUAUUUGAAAUAAUUUAUAAAAUUAUUAUUAUUAUUAUUUUAAUUUCAUCAUCUUUUAAUUUAUUUUUUAUCUGUUGGAUUUAAUCUCCAUUAUUUUGAUUGUUAUUUAUUUUAUUUGAGGUAAUUUAUGAAAUUAGAUUUUUUUUCAAUUUCAUUCACAUUCAACUGUUUUUAAUUUGUAAGAUUUGUUCCUCUUUGUUUUAAUAAAUUUAAAAUAUAUAUAUUAAUAAGUUAUUUUCCAGCUUAUUUUUCAUAGCAUAACCAAACACUAAAAACAAUAUUGGUAAUUACAAGUAUUUAGAUCUUUUUAUAAUAUCUAGUAGUCAUUAUUAAAUUGAUUAAAGAUAAAUAAAUAUUUUUAUAUUUUAAAUACACGGUAAAAUAACCAAAAUAUCAUUGGAAGUAUAAAUAAAUAAAUUAACAUCAAAGGGCAAUUUUGUAUUUUCAUAAUGAUUUUUUUGUUGUUACCUAUUAAGUAGAGGGACAAUUUAGUAUGUGUAUAUAUUUAUAUAUAUGACCAAAAUGUCCUUAAAAGCAAAAAAAAUUAAAAGUAGUAGUAUGGAGAGCUUUUUUUUGUUAUUGUCAAAUUAGUUUAAAGGCAAUUUAAUAAUUAACCAAAUAUAUAUAAAAAAAAAAAGUUGGGACACGUGUGGUACACUCUCCAAUGUGUGGGAGGAGUCAACGCCCUUUCAAGAAGCAUGUAUGGCGCCUCUCGACAUCAAAAAAAUAUCCUUCCAUUGUGUCAAUGAAAGCGUCAGCACAUCAUUUUCGUGGUGGUGUAGUGCAUGUUGACGAUGGUGGUUAGGUUUGUCGCCAGUGGGCCUUUCUUUUCUUUUCUUUUCAUUCUUCACUCUAAAAAUUACAACUUGCCCCUCUUUGUUAUUGAUAUUUGAACUUCUAUCCUUUUUUUUCUAAUUUUUGCCUUGGCUUAUUUGAAGAAGUAUUAUUUAUUUUUAAUUUCAUCACUCAAUCUUGAUUUUCUAUAAAUUAUUUUUUCCAAUUUGAUCCUCAUUCUUUUGAUUAGUUUUUUGGUCUUUUUUUUAAUUGAUUUUUCUUUCAACUUCACCUUUUAAUCAUAAAUAUGUUGUUAUUUUAUAUUUCAAUUUUAAUAUUUAUUCUUUUAAUUUUUAUUUUUGUUUUGGAUCAUUUUGUGUAAUUGAUAUUCUUAUUCCAUCCAAGUUAAGCCUUCAACAUUUAAUUGGUAGGGAAUUGGACUUCGUGGUUUUUACAAAUAUGGUGUUUUUAGUCCCAUAGGCCACGAGUUUGAAAACUUAACGCGAGUGGACAUUAUUUUUUAUUUUUAGUUUUUUAACUUAAUUUCUUUUUAGUUUUGUUAUUUUUUAUGAUUUUUUUUCUACUAAGUUAUCUCGGUCUCAUGACCUAGGCUGCAAGUUUGGCGGGUUAAUCUAGGUUGGCUUACCUCUUAUUCCCGACAAAGCUAUAAGUUUAUCAUGUUAAUUCGAAUGUGUCGCAAGGUGCAUGUGCCGACACGACGUCGUCUGGUGAUGGCGGGGGCUCUUAUGGUGCCUCAUGUGUGAGGUGUUGUAUCUUGGGAAGGGUUUUUGGAUUUAAUCAUAAAAUUAUGAUUAAUGUUUAGGAGUCGCCACUUAAUAUUAUGGUCACUAGGAACUUAUGGUGUGCGAGAGUUUGGGUAAGGGACUGGUUGUGUAAGGAGAACACGCAUCACCCUAAGUGCACUCUACCUAAGGUAAGCUAUAUUGUUGUUUGAUUGUUUUUUUCUAAGUCAGGUUUUUAUUUGUUGGUAUUUUCUAAGGUUCAUGUUGCGAUGUCGCGGUCGCACAAAUUAAUUACCCUAGCUUCAAACACAACACACAAGAUAGUAUAGAGCAAGCAAGGGGGUCGAUCCCACGAGGAAGAUUUAGUUCAGAUUUUUUAUGCUAUACGUUAUGCAAUUUGGGGGGGUUGGAUGUUAUAUAGGCUAAAGAAAAAUAAAACAGAAAACUAUCAAACAAAAUUUAAUAAAAUCAGAAAAUUAUCAAGAGAACAAACCUUGGUCGCAAUCACACAUCCACCUAUAGAAAUCAGAACCGAUCCUUGAAACGAAAUUCCAGUUUAUAUUCUGAAUUUUUAUCUUUUCUUAACGUUGGUUAAUUAACGGAUCCGCCGUAUAACUAACCCUAACCAACAAAUAAUCACAGUGUCCGCACUAAUGAUUUAAUCCAAUGGCAGCCUUAAGAUCUAGAUAAAUUCAUUAAUCUUAACAACUAAGUUGUCUGCUUAUAUUGCUUUGAUCGAAUGUUCUCCCUAAGAUUAAUAACAUAGAUCCGCUACAAUUAUUAAACUCAGUUGCUUCACAAGUUCAUAUACCACAACUCCGGUUUUGAUAUCAAACUUAGCAAUAAAUUGUCUACAAUAAUAACUUAGAGUCCGCUCUAGCAAUUAAAAUAAACAAUCAUAGGAAAAAUAAGCAUAGGAGAACAAACAUAUUCAUCAUAUAAACUGAAAAGAAAAGGUAAAAUAGAUCUCACAGUUCUUGAAAUCCGAAGGUUUCCGUGUCCUUGCAACCAAGAAAAUGAGUUUAGCCUUGCAUGUUUGUUGAACAACUAAUCAAAAAGAUGGAAGAAUGCAUGAUUUAGGGUUUCUUAGAGUAGGGGGGCGUUUUUCUCCUCUUGGGUGGCUGCCCCCCUUCUCUUCUCUCAUUCUUUUUAUAUGCUAGGAAACCCUAAUCUCUAUUUUACAAAAUAGUCCUCCCUUAAGUAGACAAUUUACAUUUAAGUAGUUCAAUAACUAUUUUCCUAAAAAAGGAGAAAUAGCUUUGCAUGAAAUCUUCAAGCUUUGACUUAGAGGAGCUACAUUGCUGAAAUAAAAACUUGGAUGUCGGUUUAGAUGCUUCGAAACGUAAUCUGGACUCGUUUCUUCACGAAACUUGUUUUUUGGCAGAAUUCAGUUGUCAUCUUUGAAAAAUCAUAUCUCCCUCAUAUGACAUCGGUUUUGGCUGAAAUUUGGAGCGUUUAUAGACCUUUGAGUCAGGAAUCCAAAAUAAUUGAGUUUGCAUCAAUUGGACUUUUGUAGCUCUAGAUAUUCAAGUCGGAAUGACCGAAGGUCAGCAUUGGCAGAUUGCGAGAUUUGACUUUGAAAGCUGCGAUUUCCAUGCUCUUCCUUAUUUUAUUGUCUUGCCUUAGAUUUCCAGAAAGGUAUGGAUGUUAGCUUUUUAAUGCCACUGGAAUCACUUCAUUUCGACCUUUAGAACUCACGUUCUGCACAAAACAUGGACUGAACGUCAAAUCUGCCAAUUACCUUCAAUUUACUCCUUUUUGCAUCUUUCAUCCAAAAGUGCCUUCAAAACAUAAAACAAAUAAUAUCAAGGCAUUUUAUAUAUAAAAAAUAGGCAAAACACUAGUUAAAUGUGGGUGAAACUAUCGAAUAAUAUGGUUGCAUCAGUUCAAUACAAAUCUUUCUUCAUGAGAAAUUUACUACCUUAUUUGAUUAAAUCCUAACAGUUCUAAAGUCUGAAUUUUAGUAUCGCAUUUAUUUAUACUUUAUAUUUUUAAUACCUAAGAGUGUAUUUUAUCGUGUAAUUUUAUACCCCAUAAAUAUUAAAGUCUAUAUCUGGAUCUUAAAAAAAAAUUGGAAAAAGGUUUUUGAUAUGUUAGCAAAACCCUAAUGGAUGAUCAUAAAACUAGUUAUGAUAUCCAUUUUUUGGAUUUUCAAAACAUGAGAAAGAUGCAAUCUUUUAAUGAAAAUAUACUUGGAAAAUUUUUAGGAUUUGGCUAUAUGCAUGAAAACAAAAUAUGUUUUUGAAAAGGGAAAUUGAUUUAAAAGUUUUUGAGAUAUUUUUUAAAAAUAUUUUGAAUUUUUUUAAAAAAUAUAUUUUGAAGAAAACCCAGUAUUUUAAUACCAGAUUUGUAUUUUAUAGUGUAAAUAUAUAACCCGAUAUUAUGCAAAAUUGGUAGAAAAAUAUUUGAGAAAAUCACAAUUUUUUUAAAUGAUUUUUGCAUUUUUUGGAUUUUUUUUGUUUUUAAAUAUUAUAAUACACAUGCGCGCGCGCGCACAUACACAUGGGUUAGGCUGGACUCAGCCUAAGAAAGGUUGGGUGGGCCGAGAUUGGACCAAACUGGUCGGGCCGCUCUUGGCCCAGCAAAACUUUUUAUUCCCCUUUUUGGGCUAGGCUGGGCUAGAACGGGUCCGGCCCAUUCCAAAUGUUAUUUAUUUUGCAGAGUGUGAACUUAUUGUUCACGUUCUGCAUGCAACUACAUAGUUGCAGACGAUGCCGAGAAAAGUGGAAGGCAACCUGGCGGAAAAGAAGGAGUCGCUGUCUAAGUGUUGACAAGAGAUUGGUGAUGGCAUUGAUGGAGAGCUUGGCCGCCGAAGUUACUACUAUGCAGGAAGAAGAAGUGUGCAUAGGAGAGAGAAAAGUGGUGCAACCACCACGUGAGAUGGUUUGAUGGCUACUUGAGGUGGAGAUGAUGGUGAGAAGACAAGUGAUGGUGACUAAAGGCCACGGCACAGAGAGAACUAGUUGCAGGAAAACUGAGUGUGGAAGGAUGCUUUUUGACCAACUUUGCGUCCGAUUUUCUCCUCCAUCAAGCCAUGAAAUCCACCUUUAUUUAUAGGCGGUGGAAGAAGACAAUCUUGUCUACACUAGUAAAAAUUUCAACCCUUGAUUCAGUUGAGAAGGAUCUUAACUGUUGGUUUAAAGUAGGCACUGUCAAAUCUGCAACUGUAGGUUACCCGAGUUGGCCUCUUUGGGGUGGUGCCACAUCCGUUUCUUUGCCAGUGAACCAGUGACGACCAUACCCAGACGUAGAAGGAUAUCUUGUGAUUUAUUCUGUGCAAGUUUUUUCAAAUUUAGUCGACAUUAGGUACAUUAAAUGCAACUGCAAAGUAGGUAUUCAGAUCAACUUUUCAAGAAAAAAAUGAAGAAGAUAAUGAAUAUUACUGAAUGACACGUUGUCUAUCCUUUUUUUUUUUAUGAAACGGCAUCAUUUUAGGUUUGAAUUAGGGAUAUUUUCAAUCUUUAAUUUAGUCCUCCAGCUUUCAAUAGAACCCUUAUUUGACCCUAAACUUUUGAUUUAAUGCAAUUAAGCCCCUGACGAAUUACUAUUUAAGCCCUGGAUUUACACGCCUUUUACAAUAUGGUCCUUGGUCUCGGAUUUAUUCAAUUGAACCCCUAACUGACCAUGAAACUUUUAAUUUCUUCAAUUCCCCCCCAUUUGUGUCAAUUGAACCCCUAUAAUUUGGAGUUUUUUGCAGAUUGAUCCUUGGCUGCAAAUUUUAUCAAUUUAACCUGUAAUUGACCCAAAAACUUCAAUUUUCUUACAAUUUUACCCCUGAUUUCAAUCAAUUAACUUGGAAAAAAAAUUAAAUUUGGUCUUUUAAAAUUCUAAUCUUCUCAAUUAAGCCAAAAUUAGGCUCCCAAACUUAAGUUUUCACCGAUUAAUCCCAAAAUAAAAUUACUUUGACACAUUUAAAGUAUAAUUAAGUCCUUGCACUUAAUUAAAUUCUUUAAUUGGACCUAAAUUAAUUUUUAAAUAUAAUUAAAAAUUAAUUUAGCCCAUGAUUAAAUCAAAUUGGCCCACUAAAAAUUUAAUUAUGUCAUUGGAUUUGCGUUUAACCUUGAAUUUGAGUUUUCUCUCUUUUUUGGGGCAUAAUGGGGUACAAUUAGGCCUUAAAAUUUCCUCCAAAUUUGUUGUUUAAUUCCCGAGCCUGUUUUCUCCACGUUGCCAGCCUUUAUUUUAUUAUUUUAUUUUUAUUUUGAAAAAAAAUGUGAUUUUUAGGGAAUAAUCCAGAAUUGGGUUAUGACAGGAUGGAUUCGAGCCUUUUUUUUGUUCUAUUUUUAUCUAAUCUCGCUCUUUUAUAUUUACUGGUCUAAGAAUUAAGUUAUGUUGUUUGUUCUCUUUUACAUAAAUAUUUUCACAAGUUAUUGUUAUCUUUUUUUUUUUUAAUUCGGUCCAUUUACUAUCAUUACUUUUUUGUUAUGAUCUAAUUAAAAUAAAACCAACUUAUUUGACAUGGUCUAGUCUAUAACUCGAGUAGUAGAUUUUUUCCCCCCUUCUUUAAAGCUCAUUUGCACUACCUAAACAUCACUUUUAAUAUAAACAAAGCCUUACGAUGUAGUAUGGGUACACAACUAGUAAAACCUAAAACAUAAUGACAUUACAACAAAAGCAUAGGGACACAAUCCUUUAAGAAGGAGGUUCAAUGGUACAAAAGCAGCAAUAAUGAUUGUUAAUUUAUAUAUUUUAUGUUUAGCAAGCAAAGAAAGUUUUGCUAGUUGCAAAUAAAAUUAUGCAAGUAUCUAGGUUUUCAUAGAAGACAUUUUUGAUAUUAUAGUAGUUGUCCCUAGCCAAUAAGAAAAAGUGAAUGAAUCUACUAUAAUAAAGUUAUCUAGACCUCAAAAGGCAUGCCUUAAAUGUUUUUAACCCUCAUGCACUGAAAACAAAACCAACUGCAAUUAAGAUUGACAUUUAAGUAAAAGGCAAUGAGAUAAAAGGAAGUUUCAUCAUCAAUAUGCAUUAGGAAAGAAAUAAGAAAAAAAAAUGGAUUAUAUUUAUGGGUUGCCCCGAUGAAGGUGAGGAUUGAUGUUUAUAAAGCAAGUAUUUUAUGAGCUUGGAACUAAAAAUAGGGCAGAAAUUGACUCCAAAAAACAAAAGCAAAACCAAACUUUAUAUAGAGUUUCCAUAAACUUGUGAGAAAUGCCAAAACAUUAGCUUUGGUGUUUAUAUAAAUAGAGUUCUUAAAAAGCCUGGUUUCUUUGAGCACAUUUCAUAGAUUAAGCUUCUUUAAACAUACAUUUAAAAAUAUAACAAAGAUUUGGUCAUUUAGUAAGAGUAUUGUGUCGUCACUUGAUAAUAUAUGAUAGUUCUUAAACAUUAUGGUAUAAUAACUUUAGCAUAGGUUGCAUGGGACCAUUGAUAGAAAUUUUUUGUUUUGUUUUGUCUAGGACCAUCAACAAAAAUCAUGUGAGCAAGAUUGAUGUAAACAUGUUUUGUGUCAGUGGGAAUAAGAGUUACAAUGAGUCUUAUCGUGAAGACAUUUUUAUUAUAUUACGCAUGUAAUAUUGUAAGUUGUUUGUGUUAGCUAUCUAUAUAGGUGUUGUUACCCAUUUUUGGAUUCCCAUAAAAAAAUUGAGAAAAUAAAAAAUAUAUAUUAGGAAGAAAUCCAAAAAAAUAAUAGAAGCAGGAAAAGGAUGCUAGAAUGCCAAAGAAAAGUCAAAAUUGGUUUAGGAGGUUCAAAAAUAAAAAAGGUUAAAAUUUGACAGUAUAUAUUUUACUGAUAAGAGCCUUGAAGACAAGAAAAAUUCAUUUUUUUAAAGAAAAGAAAGAAAAGUUCAAAAUCAGAUGUUUAUAGACUCAAUUAAAUUUUAUCCAAGGUUUAAUUGAAUUUAUAGAGGGUUUGAUUGCAAGAAAAAUUGAUUUUUAAGUCAAUUUAAGCUUUUAUUGGAAGAAAUUAAAGUUCUGGGGUCCAAUUAUAAUUUUGAAAGAGUUGAUUUGGCCAAAUUAGGGGUUUAAUUGCAUAAUUAUUAAAGUUUGAUGGUCAAUUAGGGACUUAAUUGAAACAAUCUAAGACCAAGGACCAAACUAGAAAAGACGCUAACAUUAGGGGAUCCGGUUAGAAUUUUGGCGGGGAUUUAAUUACAAAACUGCAAGAAAUUAAAUGGCUGAAUCAAAAGAAACCAAGCGACGCCGUUUCCACCAUGUCAUCGUUUGCAACAGCUGGUGCUCUGUUAUAAUUAAAGAAGGAGACGUUGGCAGCGAUAAUGGAGCCGUUUCCAAAUCCAGAAGGGAGCGUAUCGCGGUUGACAAACCUCACCACCGUGAUGUACGCUGGCCUACCAAAAACACUCUCAUCCUCUGGCUAUAAUAGCCAGAGGAAGAACCAAACGCAGGGGACGGGAGGAGAGAGGGAGAUCAGACAGACAAGAGAGUUUAUAUUAAAGAGAAAGUACGAGGGAAACAGAGAGGAGAACGUAAGAAAUAGGAGAGAGAGCGGAGAAAUAUUGAGAAAACAAAAGGGAGAGCAGACGAAUCGAACCGAACGGAAAAGGAGGACACAGUAAGGCAGACGACACAGCACCACCUUCAUCUUCGUUUUGCUCAAAACUAGGUACGUUAGAUGGCUUUCUCAGUUCCUGUAUAACGAGAUGAUGCAUGUUUAAUAUGUAAAAGAAGAAAAGAAAACGUGACGAAAUCAACGCUGCAAUCUCUGUUUUUUCUUCUUCUUUUUAUUUUGCUACUGUAAGUAGGAUGAUGAACAGUGUGAAGGUAAAUUAAUUACCUUCACACUGUUCAUGCACGCGUAAAUAAAUAUUAUGCGUGCAUGAGGGAGAUGGGCCGGUCACUGGUUGGGUUGGCCAGGCCCAGCCCAGCUGCGAAAGUUGGAUGGGUCCAGCCCCACCACAUGGGCCGGGCUGGGCCCAGUCCCAAAAAAUAAAAAAUAAAAUAAUAAAAAAAAUGUUUCAAAAAAAUCUGUGAUAUUUUCUUGUUUUCUACUGUAUUUUAAUCAACAUCAAUUUGUCUUUUUAUACUGUAAAGAUACAAGUUUGGUGUUAAAAUACCCGUUUUUCGACAAUUUUUUUUUAUGCAUACGGCCAAGUCUCUCAAAAAAAUAAAUCAUAUUGUAUUUUCAUAUAUAUAUAUAUAUACACACACACAUAAAAAAAAAAUUCAAAAAUAUGUAUUAGCAUGCAUUUUGGCUUUAAUAACCAGUUUAUUAAAGUCACGAGAACUAGACCAAUAUUUCAAAAUUUUCAAAAAAAUUAUUUUGUUUUCUUUUAAUAUCUGGGUUUACGACCUUAUACGUAAGACGUAUUCCAGUUAUUAAAAUUGUUUUGUUGACGCUAGAAUUACUCGAUAAGAUAAGGAUCUCCUUAUCGAUGAGAACUUUUCUUAAACUAUAGAUGAACCAACAAUUAGAAAACACGACCAGACCUUAGAUUUUAUCAGAUAAUUAAAUAAUGCAGCCUACCUUAGGUAAAACGUAUUUGGGGUGGUAAAACCUUCUCUUUACGUAACUAGUCUCAAUCUCUGAGACCAGUUAGGGUUCCUAGUGACCAAAAUACUAGGUGGCAACCCCCACUCCAAUUUUUUCACUAAUAAAAGACAAGAAUUCCUUGUCUCCCCACAUUUUCCGUAUGAGAUAGAUUUGAAGGGUGAAUGUUCUCACCACGACACCGCACACGUGCGACAAUAGGUAAAAUAUUCAUUGAGUUUAUGGUUAAAAAAAAAUUAGUAUGCAAAAAGUAACAACAGAAGCAAACUCUAAAUAGAGCUUCCAUGAGCCUAUGAUAAAUGCUAAAUAUUUUAUCUAGUGUUAAUAUAAAUAGAGUUCUCAUAAUCCUAUUUUUUUAGUACAUUUCAUAAGUCAUGCAUACUGAAAUAGAAUUUCAAAUGUGUAAAAUAUAAUUGAUUGUAAUGUCAAAGAUCAAGGUGGGAGUUUUAAUAGACCACAAAGAUGGACUUGUUAAGGGGUAAGAAAGAGCUAGCUAUUUGGAUGAAAGCUAUAAAAUUUAAAUAAGAUGAGCUUGGGCUUCAAUCACUACCAACCUAUAUAGGAGUUUCCCCUCUUCACGAUGGUGUCAGCCUUGAUUGAUGUUUGUACCCCACCUGUCACAUGGAAAUCCUUCACUUCUUCUCUUAGCUUUAACUGAUUCAAAAAUUUCAAUAGUUUUUUGUCUAACUUUGAAUUAAUGGAAAAGGAGCUACAAGUCUCUAAAUGGAAUGUAGUUUGCUCUAGUUGAAGAAAAACAUAUUUUCUACAAUGUCCAUGGUUUAUUUUGUUCCAAUAACCUUUUAUUUGCCAAAAUUAAAUCGAAGAAAAGAAACCCCUAGUCAACCAUUUUUGGACUAGUUUUAACUUUUUUCCCCCAACUCUUUCAAGAAACUCUCAAAGUUUGCGAGGGACCUAGAGACAAGGAAAACUGACAGAAAAAAGAGAGAGAAAAAAAGAAUCUCUAACAAAAUAAAGAAGUGAAUCCUCUGCAUGUUAGUUUAGAACACCACUAAGGGGAAGGUGGUUUUAUAACCUUUUGCCCUUGAAAGGCUAUAAAAAGGAAAAGAAAAGAAUGAGAGGGGGUCAGAUGCAAGAAAAAAAAACACAUAAAAUAAAAGAAAAAUGAGAUAACAAUCUUUAGGCUGUUGGAAUAGAAAGGGAGAAAAGAGGUGCCAAAGAAAAAAGGAAGAUAUUCUUGAUCAUUUAGAGCUCGAAUAGAGGUUAUGAAUCCAAUUAGUAAUCAACAAGGAAUCAAAAGAAAACCCAUUGCUCCCAUUUGUUUAGCUAAGUCUUCAACUCUUAAUGAGUGGGGUAGAGCCCAAUGAGCACUCUUCUCCUCCCCUUUUGAUCCAUGUUAUAGUUGUUAUUUGAUAGUUUAGUAUUUUGUUCUAGAUGCUUUUAAAAUGUGAUUUGAUCUUUGUUAUUUUUAAUGUGUUAUUUUUAGUCAUUUUUAUGGUCUUUAUAUCUAUCUUUCUUGUUGUUUAGGUCUAUUUUCUGGGCAAUAACUACCAUAAGUUUAUGUAUUUUUAGUCUAGGAUGUGUUUUGGAUUAAUGCUUUUAACUUGUUUGAUUUCUAGAUGCUUUUGUUAAAGGGGGUUUAUACACUGUUAUAUUGUUUUUGUUUUCCUGUUUUUCUAGUCUAUUUAAAGCAUGUUCUUGCCUUUUGAGUUUUGGUUGAGUCAUGUGUGAUGAUAAAGUAUUUGGUUUGGAUCCAAAUUGCAUAAAAUCGUAGGUUGCUUUAGGUUUACAUAUUUUAAACUUAGAUUUUUUUUAUGCAUAAUUAUGAUGAUUUGUUGUUUUUAUUAGUUCUUUUUAAUUUAGAUAUGUUUGGUUUUGAUAAUGUAUCUUGCUAGACCAAGAAGCAUGUUUUGAAGGUCAACAAUGGCAGUGUUUUGUACGUAGUUCUGGGUUUAAAUUCAUCCUAUGAAUAUUGUCAUAUGUACUAGUUUUAGAGCUCGUUUUGAUUCAAUUAUGUUUCUGCAAGUUCAUAUAUCUUUAUUAGUAAUUAAUCUAGGACAUUCAAGCAUCAAUAUCAUGUUUUUGUGGGUUUAAUCUUAGGAUUUUAAUUUUUGAAUCAAAACUCAUUCUUGACAAAUUUGUGUGGCUUUUGAGUGAUGAUUGAGGCAAACUGACACUUAAUUCUUGACAUUGCGUAUAAAAGCAUGCUUUUUUAUUGCUUAAUACUUAGUCUCCUUCGUGUUUUGUGUUUCUAGGUUCAUGAAGAACAAUCAUCGUGUUCUUUAUUUGAUUAUGUGUUUGAUCUAUUUUUCUAUGAAAUUUCUAUUUUUUUUUGUGUUUUUUAACUUUGAUUUGUUUCGGUUUAAACCUUUGCUUUCGGUUAGUUUUUUGGUCAAAUCUCAUUUUUUUUUCUCGGUUCAUAGUUGAACCAGCACUUUGGGUUGACCUGAACAAGUUGAUUUUUGGUCAAUUUGUAAGGCUUUGUUUGGUUAAAUUUUCUUUUUGUUAAGGUUUUUUUGGGUCAAAGGGGUUAUUUGGCCAACACACCUUAUACCUACUUUGACAAUUUUAUGUUUUUGAAUAAAAUGGUUUCGCCAAAUAUACCCCUAAAUAAUUUCAAACAAAUAUGAAAAAAUUCAAGGACCUCUUUUAAAUUUAAAUUCAAGGAUAGUAAACUUAUAUUAUAAACUAUUGACCCAAUAUUAAAAUACUUUUCUUUUGUUAAAAUCUCCUAAAAAAUCAAAAUUCCUUAUAAAAAAUACCAAAAAAUGUGUUAUUUAUUUAUUUAUUUAUGUGUAUAUACCAAAAAGUCUCUCAAAAAAAUAGAUUAUAUAUGCAUAUUUUCUUAUAUAAAAACUCAUAAAAAAAUAGUUUUUCUUACUUUGAAUACAUCUUUAUUUAGGUUUAAUAACUAGUUUAUUAAAUACAUGAGAAUUUAGCCCAUAUUUCAAAAACACCAAAAAAUUAUUUUUGUUUCGUUCAAUAUUAGGGAUUGCAAACUUAUACGUAAGAUGUAUUUUUUAUUUUAAAUAAAGAAGUUUUUUAUUAUUUAUUUUAUAGGUUCUAAAUCUUUUUACCAAAAAUUUAUUUUGUUUAAUAUAUUAAAUUGUGAACUUGUACGUAAGAUAUAUUUCUGGUAUUAAAUAAAAAGACAGUUUCUUUUAUUUAUAUGGCUCUGUUCAUCCUAAACUUUUAACCAGAUUUUAUUUAAUAUAUUUUAAGGUUCCUCAUAAAAUUUCAGCUCAAUGUGAUGGCCGGAAUUAAAAUUACGCCUAAUAAUAUAAGACUAGUCAAAUUGUGAUUUUUCGUCACCUUUUCCGAAUUUCUCUAAAAAUUCUGAAAUUUUAACCCAAGCUAAGGCAUCAUAUUAGAAGGCUCCACAUAAAUUUUUAGAAUUUUAUGAUAACCCGAUCAAGAGUUAUGAAUUUUUUUCUUUUUGUUUUACAAGAAACUAGUCAAUUUAUAAUUUUUCGCCUAGAGGUUUUACAAAAAUGAACUGAAAAAUAAUUUAUUAUUGAAUUAAUAUUUUUUAAAAUUUUAUCUAAUAUAUAUAUAAAAUAUUUAAUAUAAAUAUUUAAUCACUUACAAUAAAAUAAUGAAAUCUAAAAAGUAUAAUGAUGAAUUUUGUUUUAUUAUUAUAUGCUAUAUUCAUACAUAGCUUAUUUUAUAAAAUAUAACUAUAUAUGUCAUAUCAUAUUAUAUAGAAAUAAACAUGUGAAAUAUUUUUUAAGUAAAACAUAUUAAUAUAUUUUUUUCAAUUUUAAAAGCUUAAAAUAAGUUUUUUUUUCAUAUGAAGAAAGCCAAAUUAGUUUAUGGUAAGAGUUAUAUAUUUGGGUUUUUUUUUUGGUAUGAAGUAAUUUUUAAAAGAUAAAUAGAUACAAAAAUAUUUUGAUGGGUUUUUUGGAUAAAUAUUUUUUUUUUACGGGUAAAGGCAAUUAUCCCUUUAAUAUAUAUCAAAUAAUCAUCAAGAAAUAAAUAUAAAUACCUAACAUCAAACAUAAUCAUGCAUAAAUAUUACGUUUCGAUGUCAUAUACAUACAUAUUAGUGCAAAUUACAAACAUAAACAUGCUAGACUGAAUUAAACAAGUUAACAUACUUGUAAUAUAACAAACAUAGUCUGAACCCAAAUUUUGAACAUAUUCAAACCAUCUUAGCAAGCAGACAUGUAGUAGUGUUGUGUCACAAAGUUCUGAACCCAAAUUUUCCUCAAAUUAGCAUUUUUUGCCAACAUUUCAUUUUGAACCAAAUGAUCAAAUGCAUCCCCAAGAGUUAUCUCAUCAAAGCCUUCAACUUUCAUCACUUCCGCAUACAACGCAUUAACAUCAAGUUGAUUUUUGCUGAGACUUUGAAUUGCAAAUGAUACAUCUCUAAUCUGUUUAGACAACUUUUCAACACCAUCAUCUUCAUACAUGCGAUUUCUCUUUCUAUGUUGCCUCUUUUGUGUACUAGAGGAAGAUGUCUCUUUUCCCUUUGAAGUUUCUUCAUAUUCCCCUUCGUUUUCAAUUGAAUUUGAUUGCUCUUCAGUGUUCUCUUCCAAGUUGACAUCAGCAUAUGAUUUGGCAUAAUUUCUGGUUGUCAUGUCUUUUCCAACAACAAUUGUCAUUGCUCGUACAUAUCAAGUUUUUUUUGAGAUACUUGUCAUGAUUGGGAUGUGCAUGUUCAUAAAGUAUAGAAUAUGCAAUUUUUUAGUUCAUUGUAUAACAUUUUAGAAACAAAAGUAAAUAUAAAAAUUAUAAAGAGUAUAAUAUUUAUCAUACCUUUACUUCUUCAUCAUAUACAUCUUUCGAAACUGUAAUCAUCUUCAAACAAUCAUCCCAGCCAAAGCCACUUUUAUUUUUAAGCUUGGUUAUUAUUCCCCAUUCUUUUUUCACAGUCUUGAGAUGAUUAUCAACAUGCUUAGGCUCGCAUUGCACAUUGAACUUUUGACUGAUUUCUGUAGCCACCUUAACAAAAGAUUCUGCUUUAAAGGUGGAAGAAGGUUUGCCUCCUUUAAGUGCCUCCUCAGCUAAUAUCUCAAGCAACAUGUGAGACAUAGGCUUAGACCAUGUGAAGUGCUUGCCCUUGCAUUUUUCAUUAUGCGUGGAACUCAUUUCUACAAAAAAGAAAUUACAAAUUUAUACAAAAUAAAAUCAUACAAUAUUUAGAUUUAAUAAAUUUCAUAUAAAAACUACAAUUAAUAAUUAAAAGAGAAAUUAUAAUAAAGUCAACAUCUACUCCAAACACAUAACAAAUAUAAUACAAACUCAAGCAACAUAAUAAAAAAAACACAUAUAAUUAACACUCAAUUACUAGUUUCUUUGAGUGUUAUAAUCAUUCCACAUGGUUGAGCAAUCAUUUCUCUUUUUGUUAUCCACUCCCUAUUCUCUUCCCUUUCCUCCCGUUGACUUAAGUUGAUUGUUCGUCUAAUUGGUUCACUAUCCGAACAUAUUUCUUCCAUAAGAAAGUCAUAAGGAUCAACCCCCAUUAUGUGAUUAUGAAUAAUACAACAUGCAAGCACAACAUCUACUUGUGUUUCAUAAGACCAAAAAGAUUUUCCAUCAAUUGAUCUAAAACGACUCUUCAAAAUACCAAACCCUCGCUCAAUAGCGGUUCUCAAUGAAGAGUGUCGAAGAUUAAAUAACUCCUUUUCAUUUUCUAGUGAACGUUCUGUAAACUCAUUCAAGUGAUAUCGAACUCCACGAAAAGGAGAAAUGAUUCCUUUUCGAAUACCGUAACCAGCAUCACCAAGAUAAUAUUUCCCUACAAAAUAAUAAAAAAAAAACCUAUUACUAUCUUUAUAUAAUAAGACAUUUUAUAUGUUUAUUGCAUAUAAUACAUAUUUUAUUAUAUACCUUCUGGAAUUUUUAGACCAUUAGAUCUUGAUAAUGCAUCACCUAAAACCCGUGAAUCAUGGGCACUUCCUUCCCAGCCAGCUAAAACAUAUAUAAACUUCAAAUCAAAAGUUAUAGCUGCUAAAACAUUUUGUGUUGUUCCUUCUUUUCGACCUCGAAACUUUCCUUGAAUCUCAACAGGAACAUUUGCAGGAACAUGGGUACCAUCAAUUGCUCCCACACAAUCCUAUAUAAACAUGAAAAAAUAAUUUAUAACAUUUUCUUCUGAAUGUAAUUAAUUAAUUCAUAAAAAUAUUGGUAUUGUUUUCAUAUCUUAAAAUGAGGAUAGAAUCUUCUAUUAUUCAUUAUCUCUGCUGGAACUGUAUUCUUUGGCUCUUUAAUAAAGUGUUUGUAUAACUUAAGAAUUGCUUUUAAAACAAUUUUAAAGUAACGAUGGAUAGUUUCAACAGACCUAUAGUAUAUACCACUAAUAACCCGAAAUCUUUGGUUUUGGCCUACAAUUUGUAAGAACACAAUUACUUGCUCCCUAAUAGACACAUUUUGAGUUGAUCGUAAUAGGUUACGAUUUGUGAGAACAUCACACAAUCUAUAUAAGACAACAGGUUUCAUACGAAUCUGUUCAACUCAAUGUCGAUCACCUCGGUUCAAAAUGCUGUCAAUAUAGAAUUCUCGUUGAGCAAUUGCAUUUAUACGUGGUUCUCUUGGUAUAUAAAUUCUAUUUUUUUCUUCUUCAAUAAUAGCUACCCCUGUAGCUAUCACAGUUACAGUUGUUCCCAUGCAUGCUGCAUUAAUUAUCUUACUAUCCAUAAUAUGAAAUUGAAGUUUUCUGAUAACAAAACCUAAAAAUAUAAGGAAAUAAAUAUUAAAACAAGCAUAUAAAAUACUUACACAAUCAAUACAAUAAAUUAUGCUCAAAGAAGCUGACAAUAUACAAUUCAGAAGUUCACAACGAUCAAUAACAUCAAUCAUUUUAAUUCUAAAAAAUAAUGUGAUUAUCAAAUAAUUAAAUAAACAUAAGUUUUGAAAAUCACCUCGUAUGCGGCAACACAACACACAAUCGAGUUCAUGGCUAGGUUCAAUUCUAUUCUAUUUUGGAACAAUACCUACUUAGAGUUAUAUUACAUUAUAUUUUAUUAUGCUAUUAAACACAUAAUUUAUAACUGAAAUUAUAAAUAUAGUAUAAUUGGUUCUACUACAACAAUAUGAAUAAAUUAACAUAAUUUUCUUUGUUCUCUCGCCUAUCUCUAACUCUCUCCUAUAAAAUUAAAGACGGUUUCAUUCCUUCUCCUCAUUCGAUUUCAUUCCCUUUCCCCGUGUUAUAAUCGUUCGGUUUCUCCUUAUUCGGUUUCUCCUCAUUCGGUUUCAUUCGGUUUCAUUCCCCUUCCCAUCAUCAUUCGGUUUCUCCUCCCAUUCGGUUUCAUUCCACUGUCAUUCCCAUCUCAUUCAGUUUGUCAUUCGGUUUCUCGUUCCCCUAGCAAUCAGUUUCUCAUUCCCCUCUCAAUCGGUUUCUCUCAUUCGAUUUCUCAAAUUCCUCUUUCAUUCCCCUCUGAUUCCCCUAAUUCCCCUCAUUCCCCCUAAUAAUUUUAUCGCCUAUCACUGUUCGUUCUCUCUUGCCUAUCACAGAUCAUUCUCUCUCGGUUGUCUCUCUUUCCCUGUUCUCUCUCGGCUCUGUCUCACCAAUCCCUGUUCUCUGAAGAAGCAGGACACUAUCACAUAUUGAAGGGGUAAGGAGCAGGAGAGCUAGACCUCAAGGAUCUACUCAUCAUCCCCAGUUCUCAUCCCUCUCUCACCUGACAGUUUACCCUCAUGUUUGCAUGUCUCUCUUUGUGCUGGAUCCGUCACAAGGUAGGGGCUGGUUAGGUCUUGUUGGGGAUUUUGAUUUCUCUCAAGAAGCUGCCGAAUGUGGAAGAAAAAAUGUGUGUUUUAUGGCUUGAUUGUGAUGAGAAAUUGAUUGGGUUUUUCUGCAGAUGUUGUUUGAAUGUGACGAGGAGAUGAAGAAGAAAAAUGGGUAUGAGAAAAAAAUUGACAGGCAGAAGAUAAAUUAACAGAAAUAAAAGUUUUUUUUGGAACAGACAAACAAGAUCAAGGAUUAUUUGCUAUUAUUCUUGCAGAUCUAAAAAAUACGAAGAAGAUGAAAACAUAAAGGAAAUAAUACAGAAAUUUGUUGAGGGAAAAAAUACUUGAACUGAAGAGUGUGAUUCUUCAAAUCUUCUUGCUUUUCAAUUGUUUUUGUUUUUGGACAGAGAUGCAGAGAGGGGAAAGAUAUGUUUUAUCAACGGAGCUAAAAAUAGGAAAGUGUUUUCCUUUUGACAAGGAAAGGAAAACACUUUCAAGUGGGGAAAGUGAAAUUUUUAGUUGACUGGAAUUAGUUUUCCUUUGACUUAUUUUCCGGAUAGUCACCAAACAUGGAAAACUAAGGAAAAUGAAUUCCUGGAAUUCAUUUUCCUUGAAACAAACAAGGCAUUAAGGGAAACUUGAAGGGCAUAAUUUAUGAAAUGACAAAAUUAAUGUUUUGAUCAAAUGAAUAAAUUAGUGGCUAGAAAAAAGGGUGUGAUGAAUAUGUAGAUUAAUGAAAUAAUGAGUUUAAAAGCCUAUAUGAGACAUAAUGAAUGUUCAAAAUAAAUAAAUUAAAUUUAGUUGAUCAAAAGGUAGAAAAAAGAUUGAGAUGAACUAAAGAAAAUAAUUAGCUGAAAAAAGCAUAACAAACAUUUGAAUUGAAAGAACGUGGUUGGUAAUUCAAGGUAGCUUCUACGAUGUUGAAAUGGGAUUAAAUAAUUAAUGAAUCCAAAAUUUAACUAGAUCAUAAGUUAAAUAUAUGACAUGAUAUUAAAGAAUCCCUAAAUGAAGCCAAGUAUAGUUAAGGAAUAGUGAAAUGGAAAGUGAUAUGAAAUAUAUUACAUUGUUAAUUGAGAAAUAAUAUGGAUUUGAUAUACUUGUGUAUAGAAAUGUAUUAUAUAUGAAAAAAAUGGCAAAACACAUGUAAUUUAAGGAAGGGAGGCUCAUUAAAUGAUAGAUCGAGUGAAACAAGUGAGGAUUAUGGUAUAGGUAAAAAAAGUUAAUGAAAUGAUACUUAGUGUUUAUUAAUUCUAGAAUUUGAUUAAUCGAUUACUUGGAUAGAAUUUUAGUGUACAAAAAAUCUUGUUUUUUGUUUUAUGUGUUUUAUAGGUGUAUCCAUCUAGGGUAUCUUGAGUUCAUGCUCCAAAUCUUUAUUGGUUAUUUUAUUUUGAGAGAGAUUUUGUAAAACUAGUUAAAUUUAUAGAGUAAAUCAUUAUAUGUAAUUAAGCCAUAACUAAUAUAAGGAUUGAAAUAAUAAUGAAAAAAAGGAUGAAUACCUUGUUAUGUGAAAUUAUGAGACUGGGCUUCCAAUAUGAUAUUGUGAGUGUGUGUAUAAAUUUACACAUUUCUUAUGCAUAUUAUAGCUAAGAUUUACAAGGCAUUACAAUUGCAGUUUUGUAUGCAUCUAAGUUGUAGUAUAGUAUGUAAAUAUAAGAAUACUUACAUGUGUUUAAUCAUUGUCUACCUUAUUAAGUAUUUCAGGUCCAUCUUAUCUACCACCAUCUUCUCAAUCUCUCUAUUUUUUUUUUUCAACCAUAAGGAUUGUAAAGUGAUGAAAAUAAAGUUUUGAUCCAAAAAACAAAAGUUUCAAACUAAAAAAAACCAAAACUAAAAAUGAAAAAAAUCAUACUAGCAAAGAUUUGUAAAAUAGCACCUCAUGAAUAACAUUAAAAUAAAUUGCAUUUUUUUAUCACAAUCAAAUUUAGUAUAACAGUUUUUAUUUUUUGCAACCAAUAAAACUGACUUUUAUCUUAUAAGAUGGAACAUCAAUAAAUUAUUGAGAAGUUUUUUUUAAUAUCAUGAUAACCCUAUAACAUGCUAAUUUAAACAAUAAAUCAAGCCAAAACCCUUGUCAAGACACCAUACAAUGAUGAAAUUUAAAAAAUAGUAAUUAAAUUAUAAAACUAUAAAAAAUAGGAGACACUAUUGAAAUCUACAUUAAUUUCACUCACAACACACAAUAUAUUGUUAGUGAAUACGUCUUGUAGCUAAUAGUUGGUUACACGUUCCAUUGAUUUUAUUAAUUUAAAACAUAUUUAUUAUUAAUAAAUGUUUUAUUUAUCUUUAAUAUUUAUUUAUAUUUGAUUAAUAAAUCUAAUGUAUAAUUAAUGAAUAUAGAGUAAAAAUAAAACUAAUGGGACAAAAAUACUUUACAAAAAAAAUUAUAAAGUUAUUAUAAUUAUGAGAUUCUUGUUGUAUCAAAGUAUUGUUCGGAAUAAUUUGUUCCUAAAUGUUCAUGGUCAAUGUUCUAUUAAUAUUGAACAUUAAUUAGAGUUGUUGAGACCAAUGCAUAUUAUGUUUUUUCCUUUAUAAAAGAAAGCAAUUGCUCUCAUAAACUGAGGUAUAAGAGAUAACUAAAACUAAUAUACAAGUAUUUGUUAGAUGACAUAGACACUGAAUUGACUUGCAAGGAAUUCCGUGUGGAGAUCACCUUGUCUAUGAAAAUGUUCUCGUGAUAGUCGUAUAAGUUAUUCUUAGACUUGAGAUUACUGAAUUAUAUUAUAUAGAGAGUUAUGCUUUGAUCUCGACCACACAUUGUUAUAAUCAAGAGUAACAAACUGGCAAAUAUUGAGUAUAACAUAAACUAUAUGAAUGUAUUUAAGUAAUUAAAAGAUGAUUCACCAUUCUAGGUGAAUUAGGAAAAAAAUUUCAUUUGUUUUUAAAUAGUAUUGAUUGUGAAAUUCUUGACCAAUGUAAAAAGAGUUUCAAAACCGUAUUCAAAGAAUCAAUGCCUAUAACGUUGAGAACUAAAAUGAUCUAAUAAAGCAGACAUACUUCAGUCCAUGCUAUAAUAUUUAAAUUAAAAUACUCAUGAUGAAGGGAUAAUAAUUACACUGAAAAACUAGUCACUAAAAAGUUAAGUUAAAUCACUUAUGACUUUCCUAAUAUUUAAAGGAUCAUGGCAUGUUGUUAGACAUUGUACUUGAUCUUCAAAUAUAAAUCAAUUAAAUAUUAAAUUGAUAAUAAAUUAAAAAUUUUAAUUUAUUUUAUUUUAUUUCAUUUAGGAUUAUAAUUUAUAUUGAGGCCAACUUAUUAGGAAAUCUAAUGGGUUACACACAUAAAAAUCAUUGGUCAUGAAUUUAAAUCGAAUGAUUAAUCAAAUGUGACUUGAUUGUAAAUACAUUUUAGAAAUUAAGAAUUAUAAUGUAAUUAAUACAAGAGAUUACAAUUAUAUACCUAGAAAUAAUCAAGAAAAGACUUGAUUUGAUAAAUUUCUAAAAUUAACCUAAAAUAAUAUAUAUGAUAUUGUUAAUUUAAGGGGUAACUUGAUAUUUUAUCAUUUAUAUUAUUUUUUAGGUUUUUUUAUAAAUAGAAAAUUAUACCUCUUAUUUCCACCAUGUAGAGAAGAGUGAAAAAAGUAUAGUAUGCAAACACUUAAAAUACAAAAAGAAAAAAACUUGUACUCUAAGUUAUAGUAAUUUCUCUCUUCUAAAAGGGUUUAAGAGUUCUCGCUAGUGGUUCAUGUGGAUUAUCGUUAGUAGCCAGACAUUUAACGACUUGUGGUUUUUGACAACUCAACCUUGAAGCAAAUAUUCAAUAUCCAAAGAACACCUAAUCUCUAGGUAAUCUUCACAUAAAUAUCAAACAACUCUAGAUAUAUCUAACAUAAUCAUUUGGAGUCUCAAAAAAUUUUAAAUUUAUUAUUUCCGUUGUGUAUAUGUGUUUCAAGAAACCCAACAUAUACUCCAGAAUAAACUCACCACAACAAUUUGUUUUCUUCUUAAUUUUAGUUUGUUUGGUAUUGCGAUAAGUUUUGUGAUUGUGGUAUGGAAAAAAAAAGUUUUAAAAAAUCACUUUUAGUUAUGGUUGCUUUGAUUAAAAUAUAUGUUUAAUUAAAAUUAUGGUUAAAGUUAUUGUUCAAUAAAAAGUAUGUCCAAAAUGUUUCGUUAAAACAAUGGUUGAAAUUGAUGGUGGUACUAAAAUGAUUUAAAAGUAUAAAUAUUAAUUUUUUAUUUUCCAAUUACAUUAAUGUGCAUUUUAUUAUUAAUAUAUUUUAAAAAACCAAUUAUGUGAAUUACAACAUUGAUUUUAUUAAAUUUACUGUAAUACCAUCACAAACAUGAUCUAUAUAGGAAGACCUCUCGCUUUAACGGGAUUGUGAACAUAAAACCACAUCGAUUAAAAAAAUUCUUAGGAACAAAAUCAAGAUGUGGAUCAAAUUAUAUAAAUAAUUGGUGAGAAUUAAUAUAUAUAUAUAUAUAUAUAUAUAUAUAUAUAUAUAAUUUAGACAUAUAGAAACUUGGAUCUUGGCAAAUUUUUAUCUUAUACAAAAACUAUCCUGCAUUAAUUUUUUGUUAUUUUGGUUUGGGUAGCAAAUUUAACAAUAAUAAAACACAACUUCAUAAAAAUUAGAGGAAAAAUAUAGUGAAAACAUGCAGAAAUAUCGUCUAAGAAAGCGAGUUCAAAACUCAUUUAAUGGUAAGGCUCAUUAAAAACUAAAUUUAAAAAAAAUAAAGAAAUAGCUUUUUAGAUAAUUUUGAUAUAUUACUAUUAAAAAUGUAUUUUUUAAAAUAAUAUUUUAAUAUAUUUUUAAAUAAAAAAUAUUUAAAAAAAUCAAAAAAAUUAAAUAUCAAAUAGACUUUUUAUACGAAAACUUUUUUAAAUCCCAUAGAAAUCUAAGGGGGUGUUUAUUUGUACGGAAAAUUGUUUUUUGGAAACUAUUUUUCAAACUUUUCUGUGUUUAUUUGUCAUUAUAAAAGUUGGUCAACAUAAAACACUUUAUAAUCAAAGGAAAAUUUGGCUUGAUUUCUAGAAAAGUGUUUUCUUUUUAUUUUGAAACAGAAAACAUUUUCCAGAAGUUGUGAAAAAUUUAGAAAUAUCAUAUUAUUUGCUGAUUGCAUUAAAUUUGAUUCCCAAACUUUUGAUUGAUAUAUAUUUUGUUUGAUUUUUUUUUUAAUUUUAUCCUUUAAAAUUUGAUUUAAUUUGAUUUUUAUAUUAACUUUGAUUCUUAUUUUUAUAAUUGUUAUUUGCUUUUCUCUUACUAAUGUUUUAAUUGAAAUUUUUUAUCCAAAAAAUUUGCUCUUCAUUCUUUUGAUUGUUACUUAUUUUAUUUGAAAUAAUUUAUGAAAUUGUAAUUAUUAUUAUUUUAAUUUUAUUAUUUUAUAAUUUUUUUAUUUGUUAGAUUUGGUCUCUAUUAUUUUGAUUAUUAUUUAUUUUAUUUUAGAUAAUUUAUAAAACUAGAUUUUUUUCAAUUUCAUUCUUAUUCAACUUUUUAAUUUGUAAGAUUUGUUCCUCAUUAUUUUAAUGAACUUGAUAAAAAAAAUAAAAUAUCAAUAAGUUAUUUUCUAGUUUAUUUUUUAUAAAAUAACCAAACACUGAAAAAUAUUUUUUAACUUAUUUUUCAUAAUACUAUUGAACAUUAAAAAAUAAGUCAAGAGAAACCACUUAAAAAAAACACUUUCGAAACAGGAUAUAAGUGAAAUAUUACUAAAAUGCAGGGAGAAAAACAUAAAUUAUGUAACAUUUUCAAUUACCCGUAUGUCCCGAGGCACAUUCAAAUCAAAUCAACAAAUUAGAAUUAAAAAAAAAGAGAGAAAGAUGAAAAAAACGCAGAUAAAUUGAGCGGGCUUUCGCUAGGGUUUUCACAGAACAAAAACCCACUCGCUAUCUCUUCUUCUUCUUCGAUUUUUUCCCCGGCGAUUUACUAUUCUCAUUUGUCACCACCAUUGCGGUUUUGAGCGAGCAGAUGCAUUACUCCGUGCACUAAACGGCACCGUUUGCUUUCCCUAGAACCUAUAAUACACAACUGGACUCAGGUUCUGUUUCCUUUUGAAAUUCUUUUGAUGAUCACGUAAUCCGAAAUCCGAAAUCCGAGAAAAGUACACAGUAUGUUUUUGAGCUGUUUUUUUAUAUGAUAUUAUUUGAAUUUAAUUUAGUAGACAAUUUUUAUUUUUAUUUUUCAUGAAAGGAGUUGCUGUUUACUUUAUUUUCGGGCGACAUGCAUGAAUGCUAUGUGAUUGUGCAUUUUUUUUUUUCGCGGUGCCAAUUUUGUUUAAUUAUGCAUAAAUACAGAUAAUUACUGUGGCAUCGGUAUGCCAUUAUGGAAUUAGUUUUUGUCUCUAAUAAUUUGAAACAUAUCAGCUCUUGAGGUUUUUUCUUGCGAUGUUGUUAUUAUACCACAGCAGCAUUUCAUUUCACCAAAAAGAGGGGGGGAACCUAAAAAUUGAUUUUGGAAAAUCAGGGAGGGGUUGUUUUACCCUCCAAAAUUGCCGCACCGUGGCGAUAUUCAUGAAUGGAAUUUAAUAGUUAAGGGACUAACGGCGUACAGUUCAAACUGUAAUGCUGUGCCCCUGCACUGUCGGAUUAUGUGGUGUAAUGUUUGUCCAAGGGUUUUUUUUUUGUCAGAAUGCUUAGAGUUUAAGUUAGACAAGCUAACCGGCAAAUUAAUGCGUGAUUGCAGGGAAAACUAAUUAUGCAUGGUGAAUCUUGAUAAAUAAGUUACCUGUGGAUUGGAAAUGGUAAUGUGUUUCCAACAGAAAGUGUUACAUUUAGAUGUCCUCUUAGAGCUUGAACUUUCUCGAAGAACAUUUAUGUUUAUUGAUGUCGUUAAUUGGUGUUUACACACUGUUUAGAAAUGAUUGAAGUGUUCUUACGUAUGGCUGUUCUCAUGACUCUGUUUUAAAAUACUGUAGCUGUCUUCUGAUAUGGCUCUAGCUUCCUUGCUUGUUUUUGAAAUGUUUUUCCUCUUUUCUGUUUUUUUUUCCAGCUUGAUUCUACAUGUUUUACUGAACACAACAAUUUGGAAUAGCCUGUUAUCUGAGUAUGGUAGAAGCAGAAAAAGCCAACUGCAUUGAAUUCAAGUGGGGUAAAAAGAGAGGAGUUGGUGGCAAAAAGAAAGAUGUACAGUUUUAUGAAUCUUUCUUUUAUGAUGGUGUGGACUAUACUCUUUACGAUUCUGUUUAUAUGUACAAGGAAGGUGAGCCAGAGCCUUAUAUUGGUAAGCUCAUAAAGAUAUGGGAGAAUGCUGACAAGACAAAGAAAGUGAAGGUUCUAUGGUUUUUCCGUCCUCGUGAGAUUUCAAAUUAUCUUGGAGACGAGAAGACUCCCAAGAAUGAAUUGUUUUUGGCCUCUGGUGAAGGUGUAGGCAACACAAAUGUUAAUCCUUUGGUAAUCAUUUUAGAUUAUACCUUUUUUUAAUAUAAUUUUGGCUUGUCUUCGGUAGUGACUUGUUAUAUGACUGUAAUGACAUAUGGUUUGGAUGGUUUAUAAAUUUCAAUGGGGGAGUGGAGAAGCUUAGUAUAAAUUUUGUGACACAAUUGCUAUUGGAAUAAUGUCCAUGUUUGGUCAAACGUACAUAAAUAUAUGCUGCAUGUUGAAGUUCUACAUGGGGCACUUUCAUAACAUCAUACUCAUCUAGUUACCUCGUAAGUGCUAAAAGGCAAAUAGGUUUCAUGGAGAAAACAAGAGAAAACUAGAGGGUUCUAUAUUUGCAAAGACAUGUUCAAUUUUUGUUUUAAUGUUUGGGCUCCAUGUUCCUCAGACCUUCCGUUAUAUUUGACACAUGAAGUAGAAUUUGGACAUAACAUCUUUGAGGGGCCUUGCCUGAUCUCGCAUUGAGGGGAGAGAAGGCACAAUGAGGUUUUUUUCCCUUUUUUAAUUCGUUUCUUUGAUUAUGUUUGGGCUUAUAGCAGUCCUCCAUUUUUUCUCUAGAUUGUUUUACUUAGGGUUCUUGUCAAGGAAAAUAAGGUCAUCCAUUCUUAAAAUUUAAUGUAUUGUUUUCAAUAUUUCCUACACUUUUAAUUACAUCUAUUUCAUUCUUAAUUUGUAGCCAAAUCUUCAAUAGGUCCUCUUGGCAUAAUAAGAUGUCCACUGACAAUCAUACAUACAAAAUGUAAUGCUUUUGAAUAGAAAUGAAACAGUGUUAUUUCUUAACACCUUAAAACAUCGUCUUGGGUGUUUUCUGUUAUCUUUUACUGAAAUUUAAGAAAUUUUCGUACUGGACUUCAAAUUCAAUUUUUUUGCAUUGGAAACAUAGUUGGUGCUUUUGAGGAGCUUGUUCUAGUCAGGUUAAUUUCUCAUGCAUCAAAUCAGGAAGCAAUUGCUGGAAAAUGCAAUGUGGUAUGCAGUUCAAAGGAUAGUAGAAAUCCACAACCAUCAGAUGAAGAACUUCAAGAGGCUGACUUUGUAUUUGACCGUGCAUUUGAUGUUGGGAACUGUAGGAUCUUGGAUAAGAUAGAUGAAAAAAUUGCUGGGAUUGAAGGUAUGUGUUUUUUUUUGCCUUUAAUACUCCUGUACUAUUCUUUUAUAAAUUGAUUAAGACUUUAUCAUUACAUUCCUGUAUGUUUGCCGUGUCUUCAAUUGUUGCAGUAAAGUUCUUAUUGAACAGAGUUGGUAAUCAGAAUUCCAGUGGUGUUCCAAAACUUGAUUCAAACAAGAAAGAAGUCAGUGGAAAUGCUGUGGUUACUGAUGACACGAGGAUUUUGGCCAAGAAAGAAUCUUAUCCUGGAGAGAAAGCUGCUUCUAGUUCUGGUGUACAGUUUGAUGAAGUAGCUAAAACAAAUGAAAGGCAGGUAGAUGUUUUUGGCGAGACUGCAAGUUCAAGUUCUAAGAUUAAGGAAAUUUCAGACAUGUAUAACCUUCAUUGGUCAAGAACAAAUCUUCACUAAUAGAAAAUUCUGUAUCUAAUUUAGGCUGGGUUAGGUGAAAUUACUAAAGAUAAUAAAAAGGAAAGCAUAUUGAUUGACAUCCCUUCAAGAUCUAAAGAUGAUGUUGGCAAGAGUGAAAGUAAAGUUGGUAAUGUCUUUGUUGAUCAGGUUUUAGUUGAAGAGAAAUUGAAAGUUGCCAAGGCUUCUGGUGACUUGGAUGACAGAUCAUGUAAGAAAGCAAAGCUUGAUGACUCGGCAAAAGCAUCUUAUGAUAACAAGGUGAAAAGCACACAGAAAUUAAGACAUGAUUCCAAUGACAGUAGUUCCAAGGCUGUGGCUCAAAUAACCCCUGCUGCUGAAGAUAAAUCAAGGCCUAACCUUACUAAAGAUCCCCAGGAGACCAACAAUGCACUUUCCGAGAAGCCAAAGCCUGAUGAGAAGCUAGCUAAUGGCAAGUUUCCUGAAGCAUCUCUAAGACAGCCUUCAGAGGAGGCCAGUAAAACUAACUAUAAAAUACAGGAACCCACUCAAAGGCCAGCAACUGUAAGUUGCAUUGCCAGAAGUCCUUUUUUUCCCUUUAUUUAUCAAGGUCUGUUGCUAAAUAACUUUAAUGUUGUACUUCCAUUUACUUAGCAUCGAUGCUUCUAUUAAGCAAAAAUAAUGCCUUUUGACUUAAGUGAAGAGCUAGAAGGAUAAGAGUACUAAUGCUGAACUGAGAAAAGAUGGAAGACGAACCAUAGGAACCUACCCCUUGAACACAAGGAGUUUUCUUCAACACACUGAAAUACACUUGAGAGUUGAAUCUGAUUCUCAAUGCAUUAUCAUAAAUAGCUGUCCUUAAAAUACCGCUUAAGGUUUUUCAUAGGUACCAACUGUAGAACAGUUCUAAAGAGAGUGGGAAAGAAAUAAAACUUUCUAUGGUUUACUGUUUAAUCAACAAGUUAAAUAACAAACUUCUUAAACAAUAAUAAAAUUUCUAAAGUGAUACAGUUACAGAAAAAACAAACCUAAACAACCGAUCCCAGAUUGCAUUGAGUAGCUUCUGCAUGGUGCCAACUAUAAUUUUUUGGGGUGUAACAGACUACUGUAGUGAUGUUAUAGAAAAGAAAGGGUGGAUUCUGGAAAAAAUAUGUGCUAUAUAUGUUUGAGAUUUGGAUUGCAGCAAAAGGAAUGAUGUGCUCAAGCCUCAUUGGUUUCCUGUAUCUCCUUCAUUUUCAGCUCAUUGAUGUCUUGCAUUCCCUGCUUUUAAUUGUGCUCAUUGACCUCUUAUAGUGCCUGCUUUGUUGUUCUUGAUGAGUAACCUGUGGUGAAAGUUAGAUUUAGUACUUACAUUUUUGUUAUUGAUAUGUUGACAGGAUAGAAGCAAGUGGUUUCGAGGACUUGUGAGUAUUCUUUCUCAAAUUUGUUUCUGCUCCUGAUUUCAAGUGAUUUUACGAUCCCUACAUUUUUAUUGUUGUAUUUUGCUUUCUUUCUUGAAGGACCAUUAAACCAAAGUGAUUUAACCAAUGUCUCUCAAUACUCUUUAAAGGUUUAGAAUUCAAUGCCCACUGACCACAAAAAAAAUCUAUUGUUGGCCGCUUGCUUAGCCUGUAGUCGAAUGGGCUAUCAUAUAUAGGGAGGCUCUAGCCCUAGAGGUAGACUAGUUGGAGGCCCAACCGAUAAAGCAAAGAGUGAUUUAAGCUAGAUGCUAUUGUAGAUUAUUGAUGUGAUAAAAAUUAAGUCAAAAUGGGACACGCUAUAAUAAUGUUUUAAUUGCCUUGUAUAUUCUUACCAGCCAUGGGAAGAAACAAUGCAAACUGCUCAUGAGCAAGGAACUCUUGUCCUGCUACAGAAUUUGGAUCCGUCUUAUACUUCAGCAGAAGUAGAGGUGAUUCUGAUUCUAGAAUUCAUUUUCUUUACUAGCUUAUCCUCUUCCAUCCCUUUCUGUUUCACAUCACAACCAUGCUGUAGUAAAACACUUCAUGUGCGGUUUUCCUACAGUAAAGUGGAUAUUUCAACCCCCACUUCU